Molecule: long non-coding RNA, 76138 nt
Filed under: Ananas comosus (pineapple)
Lineage: Eukaryota; Viridiplantae; Streptophyta; Magnoliopsida; Poales; Bromeliaceae
Description: long non-coding RNA (ACOM_LNC029123)
Source: RNAcentral
GCGCCCUACCCCAGAGACCAGAGCUAGCAGUACCCCGUCGACAUAGCUUAGGGGUUAAAGAAAUGAAAAGAACACAAUGUAACAUGAUGUAUUAAAGAUAUAAAUGUUGUAAUAAUUUAGAUUGCAUUUGGAUGNCGUAGAUAGCGCCCUACCCCAGAGACCAGAGCUAGCAGUACCCCGUCGACAUAGCUUAGGGGUUAAAGAAAUGAAAAGAACACAAUGUAACAUGAUGUAUUAAAGAUAUAAAUGUUGUAAUAAUUUAGAUUGCAUUUGGAUGAAAAAGGAAUGGUAGUUGAGGUGUAAAAUGCAUGAAUAUGAAUGAAUGUAAUAAUAUAGGAUGUGUUUAUGUUGUUUGAUACCUUCCAUUAUGCAAUCUUGAUUGAAAUGUGUUCCUGGUUGGAACUUCGUACAUUGUAUUGAUUGCUAUGCCUUGAACGUACAGGGGAGACUCUGUCCGCAGUACAGGGAAAACCCUGUCCGUUCGGCGAUCUGUUGGCGGCGCCGCGACCCGGCCAAAUAGGCGGGCGGUCGCGGGGCGUGACACAAGGGCAGCCCCCGAGCGGGCGCAUGUACGCGGCCCAGACUGAGGAGGCGGGAGCAGCCGAGAAUGUGGUCGCAGGUAUCAUUUUACUUUAUGGUAUUCGAGUACGAGCAUUAUUUGAUAUCGGUGCAUCGCAUUCAUUCAUAAACCGGCUAUUUGCCGAGUUGCAUGGCAUCCCACUGACAUCUUUGUUGCAUCCGAGACGAGUUGUAGUACCCGAUCACUCUUUGGAUAUUCGAGAGUUUUGCCUCUGUUGCCCUAUUCGGGUUAGAGAUUGGGUCAUGCCCGUGGACUUGCUAGCUUUGCAUAAACUCAGAGAGUUUGAUGUUGUUUUCGGCAUGGAUUGGUUGACCAAGUACCACGCCACCAUCGAUUGCAAGAAUCGAACUAUAACGUUUAGAGAGCCGGGGCAGACGGAGGUUGUGUACCGAGGAUGCCAGAGUUCGCUACUUGCGAUGACGAUUAGCUCCUCUCGAGCUAAACAGUUGAUCAGCAGAGGCUGCGUAGCCUAUUUGGCUACCGUUGUGUCGCGGGGUGAUGUCGACACCCCUAGGAUUGAGGACAUCCCCGUCGAGCGGGAGUUUGGAGAUGUGUUUCCAGCGGAGCUACCAGGUAUGCCACCUGAUAGAGAGAUUGAGUUUGUGGUAGAUCUCGUCCCCGGGACUACUCUAAUCUCAAAAGCGCCCUAUAGGAUGGCACCAGCGGAACUGAAGGAGCUGAAGGCACAGUUGCAAGAUCUACUGGAUAAGGGUUUUGUGCGACCGAGUGUUUCAACUUGGGAAGCACCGGUCCUAUUUGUCAAGAAGAAGGAUGGAUCGCUUCGCUUGCGCGUGGAUUAUUGUGAACUCAAUAAAGUCACGAUCAAGAAUAAGUAUCCUUUACCGAGGAUUGAUGAUUUAUUUGAUCAGCUCCAGGGAUCUAGGGUGUAUUCUAAGAUCGACUUGCAGUCGGGAUACCACCAGUUGAAGAUCAAGCUUGAGGAUGUGUCGAAAACGGCUUUUAGAACACAGUAUGGACAUUAUGAGUUUACAGUUAUGCCGUUUGGGCUUACUAACGCCCCGGCCGCUUUUAUGGAUUUGAUGAGCAGUGUUUUCAAGCCUUAUCUAGACAGGUUCGUCGUAGUAUUCAUCGAUGACAUUUUGGUCUAUUCCUGAAGUGAUGCGGAUCACGAGGAACACUUGAGACUUGUACUUCAAGUACUUUGGAAAAAGGAGCUCUAUGCCAAAUUGAAAAAGUAUGAGCUUUGGCUUAGAGAGGUGGCGUUUUUGGGCCAUUUGAUUUUAGGAUCAGGUAUAGCUGUGGAUCCUAGGAAGAUUGAAGCUAUCAAGGACUAGCCGAGGCCGACGAGUGUCACCGAGAUUCGGAGUUUUCUUGGCUUAGCCGGCUACUACCGAGGGUUUGUUGAGGGAUUUGCAAAGUUAUCCACUCCCCUCACGAGUCUCACGCAUAAAGGCACCAAGUUUGUUUGGAAUGAUGUGUGCGAAAGGAGCUUCCAAGAGUUGAAGCAGAGAUUCACGACCUCCCCGAUUCUAACAUUGCCAAUUGCUGAGCAGGGUAUGUGAUUUAUAUUGAUGCUUCCUUUAAUGGAUUGGGCUGUGUCUUGAUGUAGGACGGGAAAGUGAUCGCGUAUGCUUCUAGCCAACUGAAGGAUUAUGAAAGAAAUUACCCUACUCACGAUUUGGAGUUGGCGGCCGUGGUCUUUGCAUUGAAGCUAUGGCGCCAUUACUUGUACGGCGAGCGAUGCGAAGUAUAUAUGGAUCACAAGAGUUUAAAGUAUUUAUUUACUCAGAAGGAGCUGAAUUUGAGGCAGCGCAGAUGGUUGGAGCUACUCAAGGAUUAUGACUUGACUAUACUUUACCACCGGAGCAAGGCUAACGUGGUGGCGGAUACGCUAAGUAGAAAAUCGACGGAAAACUUAGCGAUGCUUGUGGUCACUCAACCGCCGUUUAUCGAGCAGAUGAAGCGGUUGGAGUUGGAGGUGGUGGCUCCUGAUACACCUUUGAGACUGAUGACUUUGGUGGUGCAACCUAUACUUGUAGAAAGGAUUAAAGAAAAGCAAGUCUCCGAUGUGGAAUUGCAAAGGAUUCGAGCUAGGAUGAUUAAUGGUUGCACCGGUGACUUUUCUGUGGACGGUGUUGGAUUGAUGCGUUUCUAUGGACGGAUCUGUGUACCGGCGAAAUCGGCAAUUAGAGAAGAAAUUCUUCAAGAAGCACACCGUGCACCCUACGCUAUACAUCCGGGAAGCACCAAGAUGUAUAAGGACUUAAAGUUGCUUUAUUGGUGGCUCGGGAUGAAAAAGGACGUUGGUGAGUUUGUUGCUAGAUGUUUAACUUGCCAACAGGUGAAAGUUGAGCACUGAGUUCCCGCGAAAAAAUUGCAGAGCUUAUCGAUUCCAGUGUGGAAGUGGGAGAAGAUCACCAUGGAUUUCAUGAUGGGAUUGCCCCGCUCGCAAACCGGGCAUGAUGCCAUUUGGGUGAUCAUGGAUAGAUUAACGAAAUCGGCAUAUUUCAUACCUAUUCACACUACUUGGACUGGUGUGAGACUCGCACAGGUAUACUUGGAUAAGGUUGUGCGAUUGCACGGGGUACCUACUUCUAUAGUAUCAGAUCGAGACCCCCGAUUCGUGUCCCAUUUCUGGAGGAGUUUACAGGAUGCUUUGGGUACGCGCUUUGAUUUCAGUACAGCUUUCCACCCUCAGAGUGACGGGCAGUCAGAGCGCACUAUACAGACUCUUGAGGAUAUGCUUCGAGCCUGUGUGAUCGACUUCUAGGACAAAUGGUCGAAGCAUCUACCGAUGGCGAAGUUUGCUUAUAACAAUAGUUAUUAAGCAAGCAUCAAGAUGGCACCUUUCGAGGCACUCUAUGGACGGAAAUGUAGAUCGCCACUUCAUUGGAAUGAAGUUGGCAAGAGAUUGGCUUUAGGCCCCGACGUGCUCCGGGAAGCUGAGGACAAGGUUCGCAUUGCUCAGGAGUGACUAUUGACAGCCCAAAGUAGGCAAAAGAGUUAUGCUGAUAAGCAUCGACGGGACUUGGAGUUUCAGAUUAGAGAUAAUGUCUUCUUGAAAGUCUCGCCGACCAAGGGAAUUAGAAGAUUUGGCAUUCGGGGUAAAUUGAGUCCCCGAUACAUUGGACCGUAUGAGGUUUUGGAGCGUGUAGGCCCGGUAGCGUAUCGACUUGCUCUACCACCAAACCUAUCGGGUGUACACAAUAUCUUUCAUGUAUCGGUCCUCCGGAAGUACAUCUAUGAUCUGGCUCAUGUGUUGGACGCUACACCAUUGGAGCUAAGGGAUGAUUUGAGCUUUGAAGAGCAACCUUUGAGAAUUUUGGCUCGCGAGGUGAAAAGAUUGCGAAACCGUAUGAUUCCCUACGUGAAGGUGCUUUGGAGCAACCACGAUGAACGCGAGGCCACGUGGGAGUUGGAGAACGCACUGCGGGAGCGUUAUUCCCAUCUUUUUCAGAUGGAGGCUUGAGGUACUGUGCUUUUCGAGUUUCGCAGACGAAGCUCUUUUUUAGGAAGGGUGAAUGUAACACACUGGACCUUUGCAAAUUGCGAGGUUCGAGUGUUUGAGUUGUGUUCUUAGUUUUUCCAGAUUUUUUGGUGGGUCGUUGAUAGUGUUCUGACCUAUGGCUCGUAUCUCGAGAUUUGUAGUAUUUAAAGUAGCUCUAAGGUCAUCAAAGGGUUGGACUUAGGCUGCUCUCGGGUGGCAUCCUGCAAGGCUGUGUACCGGUACACCUGUGAUGGUUGUACCAGUACAAACAUUUGUACCGGUACAAGUCGAUGGCUGCGCGGUACACUUGUGAUGAUUAUCGAACCCGAGGCUCGAGUUUGUAGUUUCGGAGGAUUUGUACCGGUACACUUUUUCGUGUACCGGUAUAUUUUGGCAGACUGUGAAAACUGCAGCUUUGAGGGGUGUAUUUGCUAUUGUAGCAACUCUAUAAUGGCCCCCACGCUCCCUAGAGCCCUUUUUGUGCUGAGUUCACAGGAGCUUGAGGUAGGGGACCUCCUCUCUUCCCCUCUUUGGAUUAGAUCUCCUUUUUCUUGGGUUUUUAGAGAUUAAUCUUCUCUUUUUGCUUCUUGGUGCAUUUUCCCACAUUGGGGGAAGCUUGGAGCUUGGAUUUUGAGCUUGGUUGAAGGGAGAUCUUCAACCCUAGCUGGUUUUGGGCUUUGUGUGAAGCUCUAAAAAGGUUAGUUACAUACUUCUCCUCUCUAGAUCUUGAUUUAGUGUUUUUCAUGUGUAGAAACCCUAGAUUUGGAAACUUAGGGUUGUUUUUGGGGCUUUUUGAUUAGAGGCCUUUGGGACCAAUCUAAUUGGUUUAUAACCUUGGUUUAUGUUGCUUUGAAAGGGAUUUAGCUUCCAUUUGAGUUUUAAGGGAGGAUUUCUACUCUAUAGGUGAGUUUCUUGCCCUUAUGCAAUGUUCGUUAAUGUUUUAGUUCAUGAUUUGCCGUUUCGAUGUUGUAACCCCCGCUAGCCUAUCUUUUAGGGUGCUAGGAGCGAUUAUCGAAGCUUCGUUAGCGCUUCGGAAGCCCGAGUGCAACUCUUGGUGGGUUUGACCUAGCCACACAAUGAGAAAAUCUCAUUUGUGAUGAUUUAUGUAUCGUAAAAUGAAAAUUCAUGUAUUUUCUUGUUAGAUGUAUUAUUUGUGAAUUUUAAAAUGUUUAAAUUGCCUAUGUUAUGUGCAAUGACAUUUUGGACCUCUAUGUAGUAGAGAGCUUGCAUAAGGGAAUCAUGCAUGUGUUUGAGCAUUCUAGUUGAACUUGAAACCUUGUUUUCCUAUGAUGAAAAUGACACUUGUACUAUGCAUUUAAACUUAUGCCUGUAGCACACUGGACCUUCGCAAAUUGCGAGGUUCGAGUGUUCGAUUUGUAUUCCGAACUUUCCCACACUUGGUGGAGGGCAGUCGAUGGUAUACCGACCUAAAAGUUCGAUCUCGAGAGUUUUGGCAGAGUCCUGAGAGUUUUUACUCUCGGGGACCGGUCCCUGAUAGGAGAGACCGGUCCCCCAGUGAACAGUGCUGCGCAGCCGGCGAGGCAACCGAUCCCUGGCAGUCGAGACCGGUCCCCGAGCGCGUCUGCGCGGGGAGAGACCGGUCCCGCGCAGGGAGAGACCGGUUCCCGAACGUUGGAUUUUCGGGGGCAGGCUGAGAGACCGGUCCCAGGUCGGGGAGACCGGUCCCUCUGGGCGAAAACUGCCCAGACCGGGCUGAUGUAAAUUUGAGUUUUUGAGGGACCUAAGUGGAUUUUGUUGCUUUUAAUGGCCUAUUUGGCCAUUUCACCCUCUUCUCUCCUCAUUUCUUCCCUUCCCACCUAUUCUAGAGAGAGAAGAAGAGAGGGAGAAGAAGAAGAAGAAGAAGAAGAGGAGAAGGAGCUUGCUUGGAGGCUUUGGAGCAUCAUCUUCUUCCCCAUUUUCUCACCUUGGUGGCUUCGAGCUUGCGGUUGGAGCUUUGUGGAGGAUCAAACUUCAACCCUACUUGGUUUUGAGCUUGGAUUGAAGCUCCUCUUGAGGUUGGUAGCAUGUAAUCCCUACUUGAUACAUGUUUUUCUAGGUUUUACUAGAUGAAACCCUAGAUUGGGAUUCUAGGGUUAGAUUUGGGGCUUUUUGAUUUGAGGGCUUUGAAACCUUUUUGAUGGGUUUGGAACCUUUAUAUAGGUUAGAUUGGAAGACCCCUACCUUCCAUUUGAAGAUUAAGAGAGGGUUUUUUCACUUGAGGUGAGUUUUUCCCAACACUAGCUUGAGUUGGUUAAUGAUUGAACUUAGCGUCAUUCGUUUCGACUAGAUGACACUUGUUUUCAUACCUUUAGGGUACUAGGAGUGUGGUGGACGCCUUCGUCGUGGCAAACGAAAGCUUUCGUUGACGACGGUGGGUUUGGCUUCGUGGAAAUUGGGCGAAAUGGUCCCUAUGCUCUUUCUAUUUGUUGUAAAAUAUUUUUAAAUUCAUUUCUAUGCUAAAUGAAAUUUAUAUGAAUUUUAGAGCACUUAAAAUGCAUGCCUUGUGUAUUAUGAAAAUUUCACUAUAUAGUAGAGCUAUAUGAGUAGAAUGCAUGCAUAUGGAAAAAGUGUUUAUUUGCAAGUGGAAAAUACAUCACUUAUGAGGAUCAUGACUUGGAAUAUGUACUUUGGAACAUAGUUGCCAUGUUCUGGCAUAGAGAACAAGAGUGUCAUCAAGCAGUACUUGAAACUAGUAAACUAUGAAACUGCAACAUAGAGACAUAUUGAUAGGCCACUACUUAUCCGCUACGUUCCAUGUUAGAGACAUGAUGACAUAGGGAUAGGCCGUUGAGAUACUUGACACAUUCCAUAUUAUUAGACAUGAGGACUUGGUACUUGCGACAGAUCGUUUUCCUACUUGCCAUUGUGCUCAUUCGCACACGCUUGUGAGGGUCGCUCCCUACAAGCCGGCACUCCGGAGAUAGCCAUCACGAUUCAUAUUCGCCGUGCGGGAUUGGACGCCGAAGUGGAUUGCCGUGGGACAGGUUCAUUCCUAGGGUGGGGAUGAUGACUACCACGGGGCCAUUAGGGUCGGCACCGGCCAGACAGCCUACGGGUGGGUCUCAGGGCCAUAGACAGCCUUCGGGUAGGUCUCUUUAGAUUUGACUUUGAGUAUUCAUUAUGACAUGUGGACAGAUGAUGACUUAGUGUACUACUUGGACAUUGACUAGAAUAGUAAACAACGGAACUUUACUAUUCCGCAUUGUGAACAUUAUGAUAGUUGGAGAUUUUUACUUCAUGCAUAGUUGCUUCAUACUUAUGCUAAUUAUGCUAAGUAGAGAUAUCAUAUUGUAGUAAAUUACAUUUUUACUUACCUUUCGCCUUUCUACUUUUAUAGCCACUGACAUCUUUUGUAGCUUUGGGCCUCGUGGUGCAUUCACUGAAGUCAGUAAUUACCCACUGGGAACUAUUUUUAAUAGUUCUCACGCCCCUGUUUUAUGGUUUACUUUCCAGAGCCUUCGGCACCGGCGGAGGCACGGGAUCGCGGCAAGGGGAUCGCUUAGCUAGCUAGCGAGGAGCGGUACUUUGCCUAGGUGGUUUACUCUUUCUUUUUGUAGUAGAGAGAGUGAGAGGUUUUUGUAUCCAUGUAUAGAGACCACCUAUGUAUCUACCUAUAGCACUUGUAUCUGGGAUUUCCUUGUAUCACUUUAUGUUUUAAUUAGUGGAUUUACAGUUUUAUCCUUAUCCCUUGUUGUAGCAUUUAGACAUUUAUUAUGCUCUGAUACUCCUAGAUGUCUUUUAUUAUUGCUUUUAUUAUUGUUGUUUUUAGACGCCUUAUUGUUUUAGACGUAUGGCGGGUCUGGGCACGUGCCGGGCGGGCUUCCGCUGGGUCCCGGGGCGUGACAAUGCCUAAAUGAGACAUAAGGGAUUUAGAAAGCCAUAAAGGGGCUGCGACUUGCGCUAUUCGCAGAUUAUGGAGCUAAUGUCAUAAAGCGGCAUUGAGCUCGGGUUAUUUGUGAAUCUAGUAACGUAGUGCCAUAAAGAGGCAUUGAAUGUGAGACGUAAUUGGGACAUAGCAAUGUUUAAUUGUCAUAAAGAGGCACUAAACAUAGUAAGUGUUGGAACUUCACUUUGAAGCAUAGAACUAGACCGUUGGGCUACUAGUGGCUAUUACUAUGUUAGAGACAUGAUGAAUGAAUACUUGAGACGAUGACUUUGCUUACUUGCCAUUUGUGCUCAUUCGCACAUGCUUGUGAGCGUCGCUCCCUACAAGCCGGCACUCCGGAGUUGGCCUAUGCGAUUUAUGCUCACUCGUACGGUAUCGAGAGACCUACAGGGUCGGGAGGGAUAGACUCAUUCCUAGAGUGGGAAUGCUGGAGCUACCACGAACACUUAGGCGGCACAAACCGGACUACACUUGUGUAGGUCCCUAAAAUAAGAUUGAACAAUGACAUCGAAUUCUUGAAUGUUAAUCACUACUAGUUAGGGUGUAGUAGUUGGAUUAUUAUGACAAGCUUAAUACAUAGCUUCAGAUACUUGAGACAUGUAGCAUGUUGAAUAUAUUACUCCUUGCAUACUAGUAUAUUGUUGCCAUGAUAGAAAAGAACAAACCAUGUGUUGAAUGCACUUCACGUUGAUAGAAAGAAUAUACAUCAUAUUUACUUGUAGCAUAGUAGCUAGCUUUACUUGUAGCAUAGUAGCUAGCGCUUUACACAUGCUUUUAUUUAUGCAGUUUAUUAUUAUUGUCAUCUAUCUCCUUUACCUGACUCUUUUGGGGCUUAGUGGAGUAUUGUGCUGAGGUCAGUAAUUGCCCACUGGGAACUAUAAACUAUAGUUCUCACGCCCUCUGUUUUAUGUCUUAUUUCAUAGCCUUCCACACCAGGAGAGGCUAGGGACAGCGAAAAGGAUAUCGCCUCGAGCUAGCUUGCUAUCGAGGGACGCGUUGAUAGGUGGUCUACCUCUGUCGUUUUCUUUUUGGAGAGGUUGAGAGUUGUAUCCAUGUGUAGUAACCACCCUUUUGUGUACCCCUUUUUGGAGAUGGUUAUUGUAUAACUUUAUAAUUCACUUUUAUUGUUAGUAUUUUCCUUCCACCUUGUUAUAGAUGAUAGAUCUAUUCUUGCUCUGAUAUCUCUAGUUGUAGAUUACUUUUGGCUUUAAUUUUUCGCUGUUGUUGUAGACGCCUGAUAUGUGUUGACAUAUGGCGGGUCUGGGCGAGCUACCGGGAGGGCCUCCGCCGGUCCCGGGGCGUGACAGUAUGUAAAUCAUGUUAGUCAACCAAUCACCCACUCAAUCCUAAGGGACCACUAUUAUCCUAAUUGCAUAUCCAACGGCGAAAAAUUUAUAAGUAUAAAGGGGUCUAUACUCAUAAGAAUAUAGUAGCCCUAGCCUAUAUAUAUAUAUAUAUAUAGAAUUAAGUUACAAUAUUAUUAAUAGUAUCAACUACUUGCUAUUAAGUUUUCGACCCUUAGAUGAAGGGAUGUGUGGUCAGGAUAAUAGUAGCCCCCUAGGGUUGAGGAGGUGGAUAAUUGAAUAGUAUGAUCUAACGGACGAAAAUGGCCAAGGGGGUAGAUCUAACGGUAGAAAACUCGAUAGCAUAAAAUGCUUGGUAUUAUCGAUAGUAUAGUAGCCGAACUCAAAAUUUAUAGGUAGAUCUAACGUCAGAAAACUCGAUAGCACAAAACAAUUGGUACUAUAGAUAGUAUAAUAGUCCGACUAUAUAUAGAGAGAGAGAGUCCGGCUACUAUAUUAUCAAUAAAACCAAAUGCUUAGUGCUGUCGAAUUUUGUGCCGUUAGAUCUAUCCGUUUGACCAGUUUCACUCAACAGAUCAUACUAUUCAACUAACCACCCACUCAACUCUCGGGAAUCACUAUCAUCCUAACCGCGCAUCCCUUCAUCCAAGGGCUAAAGACCUAACAGCAAGUGGUUGGUACUAUUAAUAAUAUAGUAGGUUAUAUAAUUAUAGUUAUAUGUAUAUGAUAGAUAUUAUAGUAUAUAGUAUUAAUAGAUAUAUAGUAUUAGAGUGCACUUCCACUUUGGGUUUGUCGCGAUGUUACGGAUUUUGAAUCGAUGGAGCAGCUCCGGCGUUGAGCUUGGAUGGCUAUGGAUAUUUUGAAGGUAAGUCUAGAAAUAAUUUUGCGUAUUUUUCGAUAUCAUCGUUGCCUUAGUAUCGUAACGUGAGAGCUCAAAACGAAACGGCUGAAAUAAAAACUUUACAAAAUAUGAGAUGAUAUAUUUUGUAAAGUUAUUGAUCUGUUUUAUAUGGUAUAAAGAAUGUUUCGUAAAAUCGAAAUUAUCGUGAUUUGGAUAUUUCUAAGCAUCCGUUAAACUUGCACCGCUCACGAAUGGCGCAUUAAAAUUGAUGAUUUGAGCCCUUCGAUCAGCGGUAGGCCUAAAUGAUAUAAAAAAUCACAAAAUUUAUUUUCACCCUAAGUAUUCAGAUAUACUCUAUAUCAACUCUAGUAACGGUAGCUAAUCGUGAUGUUCGAAGUCGUCGAACCAUCGAAACAACUGUAAGCACGCUCCGGACGGAGGCUCCGUGCUUCUAAGUAAGCAUACCAGCCCCCUCUCUGCGUCCCCUCGGGCCUGCUGGUCUCGGGUCGGGGGGGGGGGAGGGGCGGGGGGUAGCGGCAUGCGGUAUCCACGGGGGUCUGUCGCGCUCUUCGACCUCCCCUCGGUCUCGCUGGUCAUUCUCUACCUUCUCUUCUCCUCUCGUAUUAUAUUAUAUAUAUAUAUAUAUAUAGGCUAAAUUACAAAAAACUCCUCUGUAAUAACCCGCUUUUUCACUUCCCCCCCUGACAUUUAAAAACCUACACUUUGCCCCCUUGUAAAAUGAAAAUAUUCACAGGGAGGUUACGGUGUGUAAAAUGACCAUUUUGCCCCUCGCCAUUUUCAUCUUCUUUCUCAUCUUCCUCAGCUGCCCCUUCGAUCGGCCGCGAUUCCAACCUCAAUCGGCUGCGAUUUCUCUCCAUUUCCUUCUCCACCUGCUCCCCUUCUCCUCUUGCACCCUCGCCGCUCCUCGAUUUCGGCGACAGUAGGGAGGAAACUGAGGUGGGUGUUGAUGGAGAGGUAGGCAAGGGCAACGAAGGCGAAGGCGAGGUGGCGGACGACGGCGAAGGGGAUGUGGGCGAUGGCGAGGCAAUGGAGGACGGCGAGGCAGCUAGGCGGCGAGGCAGCCAGGCGACGGCGAGGUGGCGAGCCGGAGAGAGACGAAGCAACAGAGAAGAGGGCGGAGGGGUAUUUUCGGCAUAAAAAAAAUUUUAUAACGGAAUCCUAACGGUAGGGGGUGAAGUGCACAUUUUUUAUUUUACAAGGGGGCAAAGUGUAGGUUUUUAAAUGUCACGGGGGAAAAGUGAAAAAGCGGAUUAUUACAAGGGGGUUUUCUGUAAUUUAGCCAUAUAUAUAUAUUUCGAGCUUUUCGAGCCUAAUUCGAACGAGCCCGGUAAUACUCAAGCUUGGCUUGAAAUUAAUUUCAAGCCUAAAUUUAGGCUCAAGCUCGACUUGAAAUUAAUUCGAGCCAAACACGAGCCGGCUCGCUCAUUUGCCAGCCCUAACUACCACAGGGCCAUUAGGCACGGCGCAAGCCGGACUACCCACGGGUAGGUCCUAUGAGAUUCGGAACAAGUUGAACCAAAAUGUUAAGUGGACAUUAGAUAAAUUAGUAAACAAUGACAUUUUUACUAGUUACAUUGUGGACAUCAUGUUGGUUAUACUUAUGCAUAUUCAUGUUAGAAUAGCAUUUAUAUUGUGGAAAUUCAUGCUAAAGUAUAAACAUAGUAGUUGGUAAACUUAUUUCACGUUUCCUAUUCAUAUUGCUAUUUCCUUUUUAAUAGUUGAACAUCAUAUAUUUACCUUUUAGCCUAGUGGUGCAUUUCACUGAAGUCAGUAAUUGCCCACUAACCCCUAUUUUAUGGUUUUCUUUCAAAGCCCUCUGCACCGGCGGAGGCACGGGAUCGUGGCAAAGGGAUCGCCUAGCUAGCUAGCGAGGAGCUUAUCUUUUGCUUAUUAGGUGGUCUUCUCUCUAUUUUUGUAUCUAGUAGAGAGUAGGGCUGGCAAAUGAGCGAGCCAGCUCGCGUUCGACUCGCGUUCAACUCGAUAUUUGGCUCGCUCGAGCUCGACUCGAAAUUAAAUGACCGAGCUUGAACAAAAAAAAAGGCUCAAAAUUCAUUUCAAGCCGAGCUUGAGUAUUACUCGACUCGUUCGAAUUAGGCUCGAAAAGCUCGAAAAGCUCGAAUAUAUAUAUAUAUAUAUAUAUAUAUAUAUAUAUAUAUAUAUACAUAAUAAUUUUGGACUGGCAAACUUAACUAUUAGUAGCGAAAAUCCCAUCUAGUUGAUACCAAUUUGUUUAGCCCUUUGGAUCAACUUUUUCAUUAUUUCUAAACCAAUUCGGAAUUAAAGAUAACUAUAAAUGAACCCCAGUGGGACCAAUCAAGCCCUAAGGGGGCCACUCAACCUCUAAACUGACUAAAUAAAUAACAUCCUAGACUGCUAACAUUUGGUUCAUGCCAAGAUUCAAAAAACUUGAUUAGCCAAAGAGCGUUUUACUAUUAAUAAGUAUUUCCAGCCUAAUGAUCUACCAAUUAUAAUAUAUUAUAUAAUAUAUUAUAUAUACAGAAUAUAUAAGAAUAAUAAAUAUCUAAUCGAAAGUAAUAGGAUAAGGAUAUGGGCUCAAUACGAUUUUUUGAUUUUUAGAUCAACUAAUCAUUUUCUUUGGAAUAUAAACUAUAUUAUCUUGUAAAGACGCACGUCAAUCCUAGGGAUAAUUAUUUAAAUCCUAGAGAAGCAUCAUCCCAACCUACAAAUCUUCAAUCAAAGGCAAAAUGAAAAACAGAACAAAUCAAAUCCUUAUAUGUUUAUUCGAUAAGCAUAGUAAUUCUAACAGCUAUAUAUAUAAUUAUAUACAUAUAUAUACUAUGUAUAUAUAUAUAUAUAUAACCAUAUGUAUUAUAUAUAUAUACAUAAAUCAUAUUUAUAUAUAUGUGUGGUAAUAUAUAUAUUAUAUACAAUAUUAUAUAUAUAUAUGGUAUUAAUAUAUAUAUAUAUAUAUAUAUAUAUAUAUUAAAAAAUAUAUAAAUAUAAUAUAUUUUAAUUAUAUAUAGGCUGAGUGAAUAAUGUGAGUUUAGUUAAAAUUGGGCCAAUGUUGUUGGCCCAUAAAAACAAACCCAAUAGGCAAAUAGAAGAGCAAAAUUUUAUUAAAUUUAUACAUUUUUUCUUUCUUUCUUUCUUGCACAGAGCUCUAAAUUUUCAAUAUAUUUUUCUCUUUCUCUUUUUCUGUCUCUCACCCUAUAUGGCUAAGCCGGAAGCCCUCCAAGUUAUCAAGUAGCAGCAUAUGCCUGCCGUUGCCUAUCUUACUAUUAAUUGUAUGCUUGAGAAAAUAUACAGAAUAUUUUUAAAGUAAAAAAUUAUUAUUCAUAUAAAAUUUUAAUUUAGUUAUAUAUGAUUGGAUAGUUUAAUCCAAUAUUUAUCUAUAUAAUUUAUUUAUUUUUGACUGCAUAAAUGAAAAUGAAUAAUAUGGAGAUUGAAGGCGGAAGAAAAGGCAUGUGAGGCUGAAAAGAUUAGAUAUUCAACUCAUAAAUUUUUUUUUUCAUAUUAUAAUACUACAUUUUAUAUAAUUAUUUUAUACUUUGAACUAUUAGACAUAUUUUUGUAUCAAAUUAUAGAUAAUGUUCUUUUAUUAUUGUUUAUUUAUCGCUCUUUUGUAGACGCCUUAUAUGUUGCAGGCAUAUGGCGGGUCUGGACACGCACCGGGCGGGCUUCCGCUCGGUCCCAGGGCGUGACAGAUUAUUUUGGUAUUACUAGUGGACCUAGCAAACCUUAGGCCGGUUGGACUAUAGGAAAUAGGCUCGUGAGAGACGAGGUCUAUUUGACAUGUAAGCGAAAGUAUUAUGAUUGGGUUUAUGAUAACUCUAAAAAUAUUAGAGUUGAAUCGGAGUGUAUAGCUUCUAACUUCGCGGAGGGUUACAUUGGCAGCCGACAACGUAACAUCGGAAGUUAGUAGUAAAGGGCACUUCAUUACUUUCGCAUGAUUUGGGUAUUAUGUGUUUGAGUGGGGUUCCGAUAGCGUGGGUUUUACUAACUUGCGCUUUCAUGAUGUUGUAGUGAUAUGCCAACAACUCGCUCUAAAUCAGUUGGGGCGGAUAAUGCGGCAAAUCUUGAGGAGGUGGAGACCUCCGCUAUCUCCGGAUCCAGCGAGGUCCGUGAGUUGAGGAGCCAGCUUGCGGCCCUCACUGACUUGGUGACACAGCAGGCAGAGGCGGCCUGACAGCAAGCCGAUGCGGCCCGUCGGAAGGACGCACGGAUGAAGCACCUGGAAGAUCUUCUACUGCAGCAGGCGGCUGCUAGGGAGGUUCAGAUUCCCCUACCACCCGCGCUAGUUGACGACGUAGCACCGAGGGCGCCGUCUCCCACGCCCGGUUCUUCGCGGGCAGCACCUGUGGUCACGCCUCGGGAGGAGGACUUGGUGGCACCACCAGCUUAGGUGCCUCCGGCGGGGGUAGUUUUUCCCGUGAUGGUUGAGGGAGCAGAGUGAGAGCACCUCAUGGAUCGCCUCAACGAGUUCAGGAGGUGCAAUCCCAGAAUUUUUUAUGGAGAGAAAGUCGACCACUAGAUUGUAGAGAAGUGGUUGAUUCAUAUGGAAAAGUUAUUUCGCGACACCUUCGUGGAGGAACGAGUUUGGCUCGCUACUCAUCACCUGGACGGCGAGGCCUAUUGUUGGUGGUUAGAUCUCCACGAUAACCCCAGCACGGAUUUGACGGCUAUUACUUGGACGAGAUUCAAAAAGCUUCUUUUGGCGCAUUAUUUCCCCGACAUUGUCAAGAGGAAGAUGGAGCAGGAUUUGCGCAGCUUGCGCCAGAGGGAUAGGACUGUAGCCGAGUACGAGAGGGAGUUUUCUCGGCUUCUACAUUGCGUGCCUUUCGUCGUGCGGGACGACAAGGACAAGGCCCGCAUUUUUUAGCCAGAAUUGCGACCGUCGAUCUUCCGGUUUGUGCAAUCUUCCAAUCUCCAAACCUACCGGGAGGUGGUGAACUGCGCGCUCAUUGUGGAGAGCGGCGCGGCGGAUCUUCAAGAACGGAGAGAAGGCUUGGACAUGGGUAACGGCAAGAGGCCCGCGGCGGAGGGUGCGAGGCAGACGUACUUUAGGAGGCCGCCGAAUCACCCUAGGAGCCAGCAGCGUGGACGUGGCUUAUCGGCACAGCGCAGAGGUUCUGAUCGUCGCCGACCACCCCAGUGUGUGAUCUGUGGUGGCCCUCACGUUCCACUACAGUGUCCGCAGCGGGGAGACAGGUGUUUCCUUUGUGGCCAGGAGGGCCACUUCCGGACCAAGUGCCCGAGAGGUUCUUCACCAGCACCGUCGUCAGCAUCGGCACCGGCUCUACCAGCCGCCAGUCAGGGGACUCCAGCGGCACAUUACCAGCCUGGGCGGCCACCCGUCCAGCGUCAGACUGAGGGGUCGCGACAGGCACCGAGUGGGCGUAUGCAUGCUGCACAGAUCGAGGAGGCGGUAGCAACCGAGGAUAUGGUGGCAGGUAUCAUUUUAUUAAAUGGCAUUCGAGUUCGUGCAUUAUUUGAUACCGGUGCAUCGCAUUCAUUCAUAGACCGGCUGUUUGCCAAGUUGUAUGGCAUCCCGUUGUUUCUUUGUUCCAUCCGGGACGUGUUGUAGUUCCCGACUACUCUUUGGAUAUUCGAGAGUAUUGCCCCAGUUGCCCUGUUCGGGUAGGAGAUUGGAUUAUACCCAUGGAUUUAUUAGCUCCACACAAACUUGGAGAGUUUGAUGUAGUUUUGGGUAUGGAAUGGUUAACCAGGUAUUUCGCCACUAUCGAUCGCAAGAAUCGAACGGUUACUUUUAGAGAACCGGGGCAGACGGAGGUUGUAUUUAGAGGAUGCCAGAAUUCGCUAUUCGCGAUGACGAUCAGCUCGUCUCGAGCUAGGCAGUUGAUCAGUAGGGGUUGUGUAGCCUAUUUGGCUAGUGUUGUGCUGAGGGGCGAGGAUGACGCCCCUAGGAUUGAGGAUAUCCCGGUUGUACGAAAGUUUUGUGAUGUGUUUCUAGCUGAGCUCCCCGAUAUGCCACCUGAUAGGGAGAUUGAGUUUGUGGUAGAUUUCGUCCCUGGGACUACUCCAAUUUCAAAGGCGCCCUAUAGGAUGGCACCGGCAGAGUUGAAAGAGCUGAGGGCACAGCUGCAGGAUCUUUUGGACAAAGGGUUCAUUCGACCGAGCGUCUCGCCUUGGGGAGCACCGAUUUUGUUUGUCAAGAAGAAGGACAGAUCACUUCGCUUGUGCGUGGAUUAUCGUGAACUUAAUAAGGUCACGAUCAAGAAUAAGUAUCCGUUGCUGAGAAUUGAUGACUUGUUCGAUCAACUUCAAGGAUCGAGUGUGUAUUCCAAAAUCGACUUGCAGUCGGGAUACCACCAGUUGAAGAUCAAGUUCGAGGAUGUAUCGAAGACGGCUUUUAGAACACGGAAUAGACAUUAUGAGUUCACUGUCAUGCCGUUUGGGCUUACUAAUGCCCCGGCAGCUUUUAUAGAUAUAAUGAACCGUGUUUUCAAGCCUUAUCUAGAUAGGUUUGUCGUGGUGUUCAUCGACGACAUCUUGGUUUAUUCCCGAACCGACAAGGAUCAUGAAGAGCAUUUAAGGCUUGUACUUCAAGUGCUUCGGGAAAGGAAGCUAUAUGCCAAGUUGAAAAAGUGUGAAUUUGGCUUCGAGAGGUGGCUUUCCUUGGACAUUUGAUUUCGGGAUCGGGUAUAGCCGUGGAUCCUAGGAAGAUUGAAGCUAUCAAGGAUUGGCCUAGACCGACGAGCGUCAGAGAAAUCCAAAGUUUCCUUGGUUUGGCCGGCUACUACCGACGGUUUGUCGAGGGAUUUGCGAAGUUAUCUACUCCCCUCACGAGGUUCACGCAUAAAGGCACCAAGUUCAUUUGGAAUGAGGCGUGCGAGAGAAGCUUCCAAGAGUUGAAGCAAAGAUUGACGACAGCCCCGAUCCUUACCUUGCCAAUUGCUGGAGCAGGGUAUGUGAUUUAUAGUGAUGCUUCCUUUAAUGGAUUCGGUUGUGUUUUGAUGCAUGACGGGAAGUGAUCGCGUAUGCUUCUCGCCAAUUGAAGGAUUAUGAGAGGAACUAUCCUACACAUGACUUGGAGUUGGCGGCUGUAGUCCUUGCAUUAAAGCUAUGGCGCCACUAUCUUUAUGGCGAGCGACGUGAAGUUUAUACGGAUCACAAGAGCUUAAAGUAUUUAUUCACCCAGAAGGAGCUGAACUUGAGGCAGCGCAAAUGGUUGGAGCUACUCAAGGAUUACGAUCUGACGAUUCUGUACCACCCGGGCAAGGCUGACGUGGUGGCGAAUGCGCUAAGUCGGAAAUCAACGAAAAAUAUAGCAAUGCUUGUUGUUACUCAACCGUCGUUGAUCGAGCAGAUGAAGCGGUUGGAGUUAGAGGUGGCAACUCCUGAUACACCAUUGAGAUUGAUGUCAUUAGUGGUGCAACCUACAUUAUUGGAUAGAAUUAAAGAAAAGCAAGUUCACGAUGUAGGGUUGCAAGAGGUUCAAGUCAAGAUGGUUGAUGGUUGCACCGGUGAUUUCCUUAUGGAUGAUUAAGAAAUUUUGCGUUUCCGUGGGUGGAUUUGUGUACCGGCGAAUUUGGGAAUUAAAGAGGACGUACUUCAAGAAGCUCACCAUGCACCUUAUGCUAUACAUCCGGGAGGCACCAAGAUGCACAAGGAUUUGAAGCUACUCUAUUGGUGGCCCGGGAUGAAGAAAGAUGUUGGCGAGUUUGUAACUCGAUGUUUAACUUGCCAAUAGGUGAAAGCUGAGCACCGAGUUCUCGUGGGAAAAUUGCAGAGUUUAUCGAUUCCAGUGUGGAAUUCGGAGAAGAUCACCAUGGAUUUUGUGAUGGGAUUGCCUCGCUCACAGGCUGGGCAUAAUGCUAUUUGGGUGAUCGUGGAUAGGUUGAUGAAAUCGGCUCAUUUCUUACCUAUUCACACUACUUGGACUGGUGAGAGACUCGCACAGGUAUAUCUUGAUGAGAUUGUGCGAUUGCACGGGGUACCUACUUCUAUUGUAUCGAAUCGUGACCCGCGAUUUUGUCUUAUUUUGGAGGAGCCUACAGAAUGCCUUGGGCACGCGCUUGGAUUUCAGUACAGCUUUCCACCCUCAGAGUGACGGGCAGUCCGAGCGCACUAUACAGACUCUCAAGGAUAUGUUUCGAGAUUGUGUGAUAGACUUUCAGGGAGGAUGGUCGCAGCAUCUACCGAUGGCGGAGUUUGCUUAUAAUAAUAGUUAUCAAGCAAACAUCAAGAUGGCACCCUUCGAGGCACUCUAUGGACCGAAAUAUAGAUCGCCACUUCAUUAGAGUAAAGUUCGCGAGAGAUUGGCUUUAGGCCCAGAUGUGCUCCAGGAAGCUGAGAAAAAGGUUCGUAUCGGUCGGGAGCGUUUGUUAAUGGCUCAGAGUAGAUAGAGGAGCUAUGCCGACCGACGACGGCGAGACUUGGAGUUCCAAGUUAGAGACCAUGUGUUCUUGAAGGUCUCACCGACUAAGGGAAUUAGGAGAUUUGGUAUUCUGGGUAAGUUGAGUCCCCGCUUCAUUGGACCCUACGAGAUUUUGGAGCGUAUAGGCUCGGUAGUGUAUCGACUUGCUUUACCACCGAAUCUAUCGGGUGUACACAAUAUAUUUCAUGUAUCGGUUCUCCAGAAGUAUGUUUACGAUUUGGCUCACGUUUUAGACGCUACUCCUGUCACGCCCCGGGACCGGCCGAGGCCCUCCCGGUAGCGUGCCCAGACCCGCGAUAUGUCAGCACAUAUAAGGCGUCUACAUCAACAGCGGAAAAUGAAACCAAAGGUAAACAAUAUCUAGAGAUAUCAGAGCACAAAUAGAGCUAUCAUCUACAACAAGGUAAAAGGAAAAUACUAAAGCAAUAAAAGUGAAACAUAUAGUUAUACAAUAUCUGUCCAAAAAUAGUACACAAAAGGGUGGUCUCUAAUAAGCUGGUACAGUUCUGAACCUCUCCAAAAUAAAUACAUCGAGAGGUAGACCACCUAUCAACUCGUCACUCGCUGAAGAGCUAGCUCGAGGCAACGCCUUUCCUACGGUCCCUAGCCUCUCCCGGCGUGGAAGGCUUUGAAAGAAAACAUAAAAUAGAGGGCGUGAGAACUAUAAUUUAUAGUUCUCAGUGGGCAAUUACUGACCUUAGCUCAAUGCACUACUAGGCCCCAAAGAAAGGGUAAGUCUAAAAAGAGAGCAAUAGAAAUGAAUAAUUGCAUUUAUGAAAGCAUAAUUAAAAGCUAAGAUACUACUUUGCAAUUAAACAUGGUGUUAAUAUCAUGCACCUUUAGUUGUCAUAAACAAUAUGUCUCUACAUGGCCACAAGUAAAUGUCACGGUUUACCUUAUGAAGUUGUAAAGAUCAUGCUUUAUCAUGGCAACAAUGUGUAUAUGAAUGCAAUAAGCAACAUCUCCUAGCAUACUACAUGUAUGUACGCAUACUCAAGUGUCCAAAACUAUGCUAGAAGCAAGUCCAAGUAAUCCAACUACUACUCUCUAUCUAGUAGUGAUUAAAACCCACUCGACACCGUGUCGAUUUCCAUUUUCAAUUAAGGACCUACCCAAGGUAGUCCAGCUUGUGCCGCCUAAGUGCCUAUGGUAGCCCAACAUUCCUGUUCUUGGAAUGUGUCUGUCCCACUCGACCCCGUAGGCUUCUCAAUACCGCACGAGCGAACAUAGGUCGCGUAGGCUAACUCCGAAGUGCCUGCUUGUAGGGAGCGACCCUCACAAGCUUGUGCGAAUGAGCACAAAUGGCAAACAAGCGUAGUCAAAGGCUCAAGUAUCCAACCCUCAUGUCUCAAACAUGGCAAUAGCUACUAGUAACUCAACGGUCUAACUCUAUGUCACAAUGUGCUAACCCAACACCCACUGGCUUAGUGCCUCUUUAUGACACUUAAGCAUCAUAACUAAUCAAGCCCAAUUCAUAUUCUAUGUUCCAAUUAAGACAUUAAUACCAAUAUUCACUAUAGCCCGGGCUCAAUGCCUCUUUAUGACAUUGGUCCAAAUUCUCAAAUAGUCUAAGUCCCCAAGCCUCUCUAGGCUUUCAAAGUCCAUAAUGUCACAAUUGGGCAUGAAGGUUACAUGCAUGAAAGUAAUGUUUAUUUUCAUAAUAGGAAUCAUGGUUCCAAGUCUCAACUAGAAUGCUAUAUCUCACAUGCAUGCACUCUAUCACAUAGAGGUCCAAAAAUUUACUAUACAUUACAUAGGAAUGUUAAGCAUUCUAAAAUUCAUAAUAAAUAUAUCUAACAUGAUUAUGCAUGCUUUAUCAUUUAACGAUACUCAAAUCAUCAUAAAUGAGAUUUUCUCAUUAUGUGGCUAGGUCAAACCCACCGAACCUUCGCGUAGUCCCUCAUUUCGCCGAACGGAGAUGUCCAUGAGUCUCUAAAUAUUCUAAAAGUAAGGAGCGAAGAGAUACACGGGCAUUAUGAUCAACUAUAAGAUCAAACAUUAACCAUCAAGGCAAAAGGGCUAAAAACUCACCUAGGGCGUAGAAAAACUCUCACAAGCUCCAAAAGAAAGCUAGAAUCAUUCCAAUCUAACCCAAAGGAAGGUUCUAAUCCAAGAAAUUGAACUCCAAAAGCCCUAGGUUCAAAAUGCCCAAAAUAAACCCUAAGUCUCUAUUCUAGGGUUUCAUCUCAAAAAUUCUAACAAAAUAAGGAUCAAAAGGAGAAAACAAGUUUCUAACCUCUCAAGAAGCCCCCAGCUAGGCUCCAAAUCAAAAGGGGUUGAAGUUCUCCUCUCCAAUAAACUCCUCUCCAAGAUCCAAACCUCCAACAAUGGUGAAGUUGGCACCAAAGAGCAAAAAGAGAAGUUUAAUCUCUUAAAAUCCCACCAAAAUCCAAGGAAAUCAAAAGGAAAAUCAAGGAAGGCUCCCUUACCUCUAUUCUUGCUAUGGCAAGCUCAAGAGAAAGCCCUAGGGGCGUGGGGUGCUAUAUAGAAGACCACAAUUGCGAAAAAUCCCCUGCAGUUCAAACUGCUCAAAAACUGCCACUGCGUACCGGUACACGGGCCCACGUACCGGUACACAUCCCACGAAAAUACCAAAUCCGAGCCUCGGGUUGGCUGGGAAGCUGCCUGUGUACCGGUACACAAUCCCAUACCGGUACAACCAUCAACCCUGUACCGGUACAGCCAUCAACCCUGUACCGGUAUACAGCCCAAUGAAGGCUACCCGAGUGCUAACCAAAAAUCUAUUUUUUUGGAUUUUGGUGCUAGGCUUCAGACCUCAAUCCUCGGAGUUCGAACCAUAGGUUGGAACACUAUUUACGACCCACCAGAAAGUCUGGAAAAACUCAGAACACAUACAAUCACUCGAACCUCGCAAUUUGCAAAGGUCUAGUGUGUUACAACUCCAUUGGAGUUGAGGGAUGAUUUGAGUUUUGAGGAGCAACCCGUGAGGAUUUUUGCUCGCGAGGUGAAGAACCUGCGGAAUCGGGAUAUUCCAUAUGUGAAUGUUCUUUGGAGCAACCAAGAUGAGCGGGAGGCCACGUGAGAGCUGGAGAGCGCGCUGCUGGAGCGCUAUCCCCAUCUUUUUCAGAUGGAGUCUUAAGGUACCUUGCUUUUGAGUUUCGUGGACGAAACUCUUUUUUAGGAGGGGUGAAUGUGACACACUGAACCUUUGCAAAUUGUGAGGUUCGAGUGUUUGAGUUGUGUUACGAGUUUUUCCAGCUUUUCUGGAGGGUCGUUGACAGUGUUCCGACCUAUGGCUCACAUCCCGAGAAUCGAGAUUUAAACUUAGCAACAAUGUCUCCAAAGUGAAGAUUAUUGGGUUGCUCUCGGGUUUGACUCUGUAUGGAAGUCUACCGGUACAACAUUGAAGUUGUACCGGAACAAGAGGUUGUACCGGUAUAACAUUGGAUUUGUACCGGUACACAGAGCUGUUUCUGCCAACCCGAGCCUCGGGUUUGCUCCUAUUGAGGGUUGUACCGGUACAUUUUCCUGUGUACCGGUAUACAAUGCAGAAUGUAGUCUGCUUAUUUUUUAGGAGUGUUUUGGAAUUGUAGCAACACUACAAAAACCACCCACGCCCCCUGGUGUUCCCUGAACUGGGAAACAGAGGAGAAGAAGGUAGGGAGCCCUCCACUCCUCUUUGAUUCUCCUUCAUUUUAGUUGGGAUUUUUGAAGUUUAAUCACUUCAUUUUGCUCUACUUUGCUUCUUGGUGCCAUUUCCUCCAUAGGAGAAGACUUGGAGCUUGGAGAGGAGCUUGUGGAAGGGAAGAUCUUCAACCCUAGUUGAUUUCUAACCUUGUUUGGAGCUUUUCUUUAGGUUAGUAACAUGAUUCUUCCUCUAGAUUUAUGUUUUGAUAGAUGUCUUGAGAUGAAAUCCUAGAAAUGGAAAAUUAGGGUUUAAAAUGGGAAUUUUUUAUUAGAGGCUUUUGGAACCUAAUUGAUUGACUUAGAACCUUCAUUUAUGUUGGUUUUGAAGAGUUCUUGCCUUCAUUUGGGAUUUGAGAGGCAUUCCCCACACUAUAGGUGAGUACUUGCCCCUUCUUUUGAGUUGAUUAAUGUGCGAUCAAAGGGGUGUUCAUAACAUUCAUUUAUCUCUCUUAAUAUUACCUUUAGGGAGCUAGGAAAGUAGUGGACACCUUCGUCGGUGCAAACGAAGGGCUAUGAGGAGUUUCGGUGGGUUUGACUUCAUGGAAUAUGGGAGAAAUUCCUCCUAUGUUAUUUUUACUUGUUGUAAAAUUGAAACGCAUGCAUAUUCAUGCUAGAUUGUCACGCCUCGAGACCGCUACCAAUUUGGCCCGAUCCGGGCGCGUCGAACAGACGCCGAACGGACAGGACCUCCCCUGUCCACCCAAGGCUAACCAACUGAUCAUGUAUAAGAAUUUACCCAGGAAUCAAUUCAUGAAUACACGAUCACGAGGAGCACCACCAGUGCCAACCAAAACAAGAGCAAGAUACAAGUAUGAGACAUACAAGUAAUUAAAGAGAGAAAGUUCUAUCUAUUACAUUCAUUCAACUUAAUACAUUUAAUUCCAUCUUUUACAUUCUUUCAAAACAUGUAUACAAGCACUCUCAAACCUCACCGUAUACAACAUCUACUCUCAACAUAAAUACAGGGUAGAGCUAAUGCAAAAUGGGUGGAUAGCUAAUGCAACUAGGGCACUAAGCCCUUACCACGACCCUCGCGCUCGCCGGGGACACCCGAGCUCGAACCUGAAAAGAGUGGGGUGAGAACUAUCUUCCAUAGUUCCCAGUGGGUUCGGCCGCCGACUCCACCUGUCUCCCCACUAGGUCCAAGUGGGCACAAGUAGAUAAACAGAUAGAUAGAUAUGGAAAGCUGUAAUAACAGAAUAGCAAAGCUACGCUACCGUGCCCGAAUCAUAUAUGUAAAGAUGCAUGCACAAUGAAAUGGGUAAUCAACUAGCUCUUCAUAUGUCCAAGAAGUAAGGCUGUUUACUUGUUCAUUAAUCUCGUGGUUCAUUCAAGGAUCCGCCUACUACUCACAUAGCCGUCUCGAUACUACGAAUCCGAGACCGUCUGCGGGACCCCACAUAGGCCAUCUCUCGGGACCCCAAAUAGGCCAUCCCUAUCCCACGGGACCCCAAAUAGGCCAUCCCUCGUGACUGACUCCGGAGCGUACUACUUGUGUGGAGCGACCACCACAAGUCGGGAACAGACAAUGAGUAUGAUCCAAUUCUCCCACCUCAAAGGUAUCCUAUCCACUAGGGUUACUAUCAUCAUAGUCAAUGGUUUCAUAUACGCUACGACUCACAUAUGCUACUCAUUCUUUGUUUACUUAACAACUAGAUGCCACUCGUUCUUUUAUUUCAACUAUUGCAUCAUUCCUUCACCGCUGCACUAUAGGAUUUCAAGUCUCGACCCAAUCCUCAUCAAUCCUCUAUAUCCAGCAACUAAUGCAUAAUAUUUUAUCAGCUAGGAAAGCAUAAGGAAAGGCAAUGCACAAUUAUCCUACAAUGCAUGUGAACACAGGAUGCAAGGUCUCGAAAUACUAAGACAUAAAAGGGAGCCCGAUUGCUUCGGGAUGGUCGCCACCCACCGCUUGGUGAUACCGCGCUAGUAGAAAACUCAACUUCGUAGUCCUUGAUCGACGCCUCGACUUCUCGGGUCGAUCCAAACCUUUAAACACUUGAUUCGGCGGUAUCUUCGCACCCGCUCGUCGUAUCGAUGAACCGUCUUCGCCGACGCAUUUCGUGACCUAGCAAUUUGGUUUACGACCUAUUAAAAUAGAUCAAAACCCUAGAUUUCCAAAAAUCCCGAUUCCGUGCCCUAGGUUAGCAACGGUGAGGAAAUCCAUGGUGCAAGCUUCAAUUGCGAGCCCGAACCAUCUAUUUAUCUCCUCUAGGUUCUAUUCGAGCCAUUUCUAUGCAAUAAAACCCAAUCUCAAGAAAUCCACCCUGGAUGGGUUUGAGGUUUACCUAUAAACCAAGCUCCAAACUUGCUCUAGCUUGAGGGAGAGAGGGAAGAAGAUGAUCUUCUUCUUCUUCUUUGUCUUCUUCUUCCUCUUCUUCUUCUUUUCCUUUCUUUUCUUCCUUUCCUUCUUUUCUUCCUAGAGAGAGAGAGGGAAAGAGUAUGAGAGGGAGAGAAAGAGCAAUGAGGGGAAGAGAGGUCCCCCAGCCUCUAUUACAGGUUAUUUUGCAGAUUGCCCAUUCAACUUUUCAUCUUCUGAAUCAGCCCUCACUGGGCAUUUUCACAGUGAGGGACCGGUCCCAGCUCGGGGAGACCGGUCCCCGAGAGUCUUCCAUCUCGGACAGAAAGGAUUUCGCGUUCGAGAACCGGUCCCUGCCUGAGAGACCGGUCCCUGGGAGACCGGUCCUUGCCCGAGAGACCGGUUCCCGAGAGUUGGAUUUUCGGGACUUAGCCAAUUUUCGGCUGUUCUCGCUGGGCUAACGUUCGGGGACCGGUCUUCCUUUAUCAGGGACCGGUCGCCUCAAGGAUUCCCGCAGCCCAGCCUGAUGGGACCGGUCCCUCCCUGCCAGGGAUCGGUCCCCGAGAGCAAUUCUGCUCCGGUGUAGAUUUCACACUAGUGCUCUCGCGGACUCUUCUUUAAUGCACUUUAGGCAUUGUAAUCCCCUUCGGACUUUCCGAAGCCUACACACUCGACAAUCAGUCGAUUCUAAGCGAAGUCUAAUCCUCGGAUUUCGAGAAUUCACUUCCUAACAUAGAUAGAGCCUACGAGUUAUUUAGAAUGCUUAAAAUACAUGUGUUAUGUAUGAUGAAAAAUUACCUCUAUAUAGUAGAGAGAGACAUAUGCGUUGCAGCAUGCAUGACAAUAGCAUUCUAUUUUAUGAUUGGAAAUCAUGUUCCUUGCAAAGAAAAUGACCUACAAUAUAUGCUCUUGGACUUAGUAUUCAUGUUGGACUUAGUGGACAAAAGUGCCAUAAAGGGGCACUUAACCUAGUAAACGGUUAAACUGCAACAUGUUGACAUAGAAACGGAUCACUAGCUUUUCUACCAUGUUUUAGACAUGAUGACAUAGUGAUAGGCCAUUGAGGCAUUGACUUUAUUCCAUGUUUUAGACAUGAUGACAUUGGACUUGAUUUGGAUACAUACGCUUGCUUGCCAUUGUGCUCAUUCGUACAUGCUUGUGAGGGUCGAUCCCUACAGGCCGGUACUCCGGAGAUAGCCAUCGUGACAUAUGCUCGCCCGUGCGGGGUUGGGUGCCGAAAUGGGAUGCCGUGGGGGAGGCUCAUUUCUAGGGUGGGGAUGUUUACUACCACGGGGCCAUUAUGCACGGCGCAAGCCGGACUACCCACGGGUAGAUCUUAUGAGAUUCGGAACAAGUUGAACCAAAAUGUAAAGUGGACAUUAGAUAAAUUAGUAAACAGUGACAUUUUUACUAGUUACAUUGUGGACAUUAUGUUGGUUAUACUUAUGCAUAUUCAUGUUAGAAUAGCAUUUAUAUCGUGAAAAUUCAUGCUAAAGUAUAAGCAUAGUAGUUGGUAAACUUAUUUCACGUUUCCUAUACAUAUUGUUAUUUCCAUUUUAAUAGUUGAACAUCAUAUGUUUACCUUUUAGCCUAGUGGUGCAUUUCACUGAAGUUAGUAAUUUCCCACUGGGAACUAUUGUUUAAUAGUUCUCAUGCCCUUGUUUUAUGGUUUUCUUUUAGAGCCCUCUGCAUCGGCGGAGACACGGGAUCGUGGCAAAGGGAUCGCCUAGCUAGCUAGCGAGGAGCUUAUCUUUUGCUUAUUAGGUGGUCUUCUCUCUAUUUUUGUAUCUAGUAGAGAGUGAGAGGUUUUGUAUCCAUGUAUGGAGACCACUAUUUGGGUUGUAUAGCACUUGUGUUUGGGUCCUUCUUUGUACUACUUUAUGGUUUACUCUUAGUGGAUUUAGCUCAUUUAUUUACUUUCUUGUUUUAGUAUCUAGUUGUUGCAUGCUCUGAUACUCCUAAAUAUUUUUUUAUUAUUGUUUAUUCAUCGCUCUUUUGUAGACGCCUUAUAUGUUGUAGGCAUAUGGCGGGUUUGGUGUCACACCCCAGGGCCUAUUUUAAAAGUCUUUUUAAAAUCCAUUACCAUUUUGGAAUUCAGAGUCGUGGAAGAUGUGCCACUUUUUUUUUUUUUUUUCAACCUGGCCCACGUGACGUACAGACCCGCCACAAAUACGAAGUUCCUCUGUCCACUCAGAUAGAGUCUCCUUUGUGUUUGCACAGCGUACCAACUGUACAACAGGAUCUCAACCACAACCAAUAUUUAUCAAUCAACAACCAAUUCAUGAUAUGCAUUUCCAUACAGCUAUCGAUCCUUAGAGAUGGUGCAUGCCUCUAAGCACUCCUUAAGCGCUGGAUGAUGCAAUGCACAAUACAACAAUCAUCCUAUUUAAAAGUGCUCACCACCCGGAAGCUUUGUCUUUAAAAUCUAAUUCAAUCAUUCACAAAACCAAUUCGAAAAUCUUUUUAAAACUGUUUCCUACAUGGAAACUCUAUUUUGAAAACCAGUUACCUCGAGGGGUAGAAAACCACAAGUAUAAAUAUAACAACAGAGAAUCCAUAAAACCAGAACUACAGAUCCACAAUUAUCCGUUCACAUGCAUGAAUAACGAAAAUGUCCACAAAACCAAUUCACGAACAGACAAACAAUCAUAGAGAUUAUCUAACUGAACCAUUUAUUAAUAAAGACUACUAAAUGCAUAAAUAAGAAUAACCCGGGUGAUGGUCGCUACUGCCGACUAGCUAGAACGUCCUCUCGUCGCGCCCAACACCAACUCCAAGCCCGAAUCACCCAGGAAAUAGGGGGUGAGAAACCGCAACCAUGGUUUCCCAGUGGGUACGACAGAGCCACGAAGGCAAGCCGUGAUCACUGGAAACCAAAGGAGAUAGAUAAAUAAGAUAUAUAUAUAUACUGUGAUGCGAAAAGGAAACUACAGUAGCUAUAACUGGUAUAUAAGAAGCAAGAACUAAAACCAACCAAGGUGCUCACCUCAGUUGGCAGUGAGGAGCGACGGCGGCGACGACGAAACCAACCAAGGCCGCACAAGAUCCGGCCGGGGUUCCAAGGGCUGCUGCGGCCACGGCGGCGGCCGGGCACCUCGGGACGGCGNUUGCCACGAUCAUCGUGCUCCCUUCCACAGAGAUCGGGAGGCCUCGAAAAGCUCAGAACAAGAAACCGCCAAAGAAAAGCCCUACUUCGCCGGAGCAAGCUUGCUCCGGCCGGCCUCUGGCGGCACGGCAAGGCGUGCGCGGGCCAGGGAUGGGUGCGGGGAAGUGGAGGAGCAAGGUGCUCACCUCAGUUGGCAGCGAGGAGCGGCGGCGGCGACGGCGGAACCAACCAAGCCUGCACAAGAUCCGGCUCGGGUUCCAAUGGCUGCUGCGGCCACGACGGCGGCCGGGGCACCUCAGGGCGGCGUUGAUCAGCAGCGAGGGCCCCCCAGGAACACAAGGAGGAGGAGGGAGGCAGCGGGCGACUGCGGCGGCGGCCCGCGGCUCGAGCACGGCCGCCCGAGCUUGGCUCGGUCUGUAGACCGAGGCGGCGAUGCCUAAGGCGUGCGGCGACGGCGACGACCUCUCCGGCCGAGCACGGGUUGCCGGAGGGUCUGGGGGUCGUCGCCGGUGGGGUGCUAGGCGGCGGCGGCAGCAUAGCUCGGUCCCCAGCUUAGCAUGGCUCGCAGGACCCCAGCGGCGUGGCGGCGGCGCUCGGGGCGGCGGCGGAGGUCCCCUGGGCUUCGGGGAAGGCGGCGGGAUAAUCCUCAGGCGGCGGCAGUGCACGGGGAGGGAGCUAGGGCUACCUCGGCCAGGGCUCGGCCAAGCAGGCUGCAGGCGGCUACAGCGCGACACAGCGGUGCUCGGGGGUGGCGGCAGUCGGCGAGGACAUUCGCCGGAGCUCGGGGUUACGCUGGGGAAGGUGCAGGGAGGCAAAGCAGCCUCGGCCAAGGCUCCAACCCGAGAAGAGGAGAGCGGUGGAGAGAGAGAUGGAGAGAGAGAGAUGGAGAGGAAGGCUGCGGCUGCUGCUCGCCGGCCGGGGCUCGGUCGGCGGCGGCCGGGGGUGGCGCAGCAAGGGCAGGGCAACCAAGGGAGGUGGCUGGGGGUUUAGCUCGGACUAGGGUUAGGGUUUUCUUAGUGCAAACCCUAAAACAAGCAUAUAUACAAGGUGCAAUAUGCGAGUUAGCCCACCAAACCUCAGUAUUUAGUACUGAGUCCCUCACAGCGCAUGUACAACGCGCGAAUAUCCCUCCACGUGUGAUCUCAUGCAAAGCGAUACAUAAAAUGUCAUGACUUUUGUGAAAUUACUGUUUUGCCAACACCGACCUCUCCACGAUCAACGUGCGAUUUCUGCAGAUCCGUCCGUCAGAUUUGCGAACAGAUUGCACGAGUGCGAUCAGCACGACGUAGACAACAAAGCUACAAUUUUGGUUCGCCUCGAUCGAUCACGGAUUUGCGACGAAUUCUGUUUCCUCUCCGAAAGGCCAAAAUGACGCUCAAAUACAUAAGAAACAUGUAUUUUCAGAUUUUCUCGAAAUCCGUGCGUCAAACCCAAAAUCCAUCAGCGCCAUUAGUUCUAGAAUAGUUGAAUCGUUUGAAAUGAGCUAUUGGAUUGCUGUGAAUGGAGUCCGAUACGAGCCUGAAGCCAACUUCACGCCGUGGCUUAUCCGGAAAAUCGAGUUAUUAUUCACCUUAAGUGAAACUUGGAGAUCACGUAAAAUCUCCGUUUUAGCUCGAUUUCUCCCGAAACUUGACGAGUGCUUUUGUAAUUAAAUUACACACAAAAACAUCAUCAAUUGAGAGUGUAGCUACACUGCCAAAAUCUCGGUCCUUACAUCUGGACACACACUGGGCGGGCUUCCGCUGGGUCUCUAGGCGUGACAAAUUUUGAUUGAAAUUUUAUUUUAUUUAGAUUUUUUCAUCAUUCUAGGUACUGAGACUACGAUGAAAUCAUAAUCUUAGAACGUGAUUGCGAGAACUGAGAUUUUUUUAUAUAUAAAUUAGGCGUAAUUUUAAAUGUUAUAAUAUGUAUUUAAUUUUAAAACUGCUAGUCAAAUUUCAGUGAAAAGUAAUUUAAAAUUAAAUUUUACGCGAUUAUUACUUUUCACUUAAGUGAGUAGUAACUCUUAUUUUCGGAAGAGGCCGCCUAGUGUAGAUGCUUUUGUUGUGUACCGAACUCUAUUUUUGGCGAUCCAAUAGCUCGUUCUCGAGGUCUAAUUGCGUCGAAGUCAACGUCACUAACGGAUUUUGGGUUUGACGCACGGUUCCUAAGAAAAAUAGAUUUUAUCACAGUUAGGGCAAACUAUACUUUGUGUUUUUUGCUUUUUAAUCACAAUCGGUGCUUCGUUUUACGAGAAAACCCACGGCCGGGGACCUUUCAACGAAAGAAAAGUGGUAGAGAAGGUUGGGUCAAAAAUCAUGCAGUUAUGAGGGGUUUUUGGGGUAAUUAUCCUAAACUACUUAGGAUAAUUUUAAGAUUAGGGUUUCAUGAACCCUAACCCUAACCUUAAUUCUCUCUUCUCUCCCAUCUGGUCCUCCUGAGGCGUGCCGCCGCCGUCGUCGCCGGUUGCCAGAGAAGAGGAGGACCUCUCUCUUUCUCUCUCUCUCUGUAUUUGUGUGGAAGAAUGAGCCCGAGCCUCCUUUUCCGGCACUGCCGUCGACUGGGACCACCGCUCGCACCAUCACUCGACCCCGAGCGACUACCCCCGAGGCUCCCGAUGUAAUAUACCAAGACUUCAGUAAAUAAAUAUCGAACUUUAGUCAAAUUGACCAAAGUGCGAGGAUGGUGCCUUUCGGAAAGUCCGAAGGCGUUAAAAUGAGUAAAACUGCAUUGUGGGAGGUUUUCGAGAGCUAAAGGAUCAAAAAUCUGCAAACUGCAGAUUUUGUGCUCUCGGGGACUGGUCCGUGGUGGGAGAGACCGGUCCCCGAACGCGUGACAAAUAAGAAAGCUGAAAAAUCGGCUAAGUCUCAGAAAACCAGCUCUCGGGAAUCGGUCCCUAUAGGGAGAGACCGGUCCCCGAGAGACCGGUCCCUCUGGGAGAGACCAGUUGCAUUGCGCGGGGGCCCUGGCUGCCCGCGGGGAAAGCUCUCUGGGACCGGUCCCUUGUCGGGGAGACCGGUCCCCGAACACGAAAACUGCCCAGUUUUGGCAGUUCAAGAGAAUAAAAGCUGAGGGGUUUAUUUGCAAUUAUGCAACCCAUGGGUUAUGUUAUGAGGGGUUAUGGGAUAUUUCUCUCAUUCUCUCCCUCUCACACCCUCAUAUCUCUCUCUCUUUCUCUCUCUAGAAGACAAGAAGGAGAAGAAGAAAGAAAGAAAAAGAAGAAGAAAGAAAAAGGAGAAGAAGAAGAAGAAGGUGGAGAACAAGGAGUGAAGAAACUCCCUCCUCUCCUUCUCUAGCUUGAAGAAAUGAAAGCUUACAAAGUAAGCUUCUUCCCCUCUCAUGGUAGAACCCAAACUAGGGUUUCAAUGGAUCUAGAAAUGGUUUUAAUGGUAUCUCUUGAGUAGAUUAAGCUUUCUUUUGCUUGUCUUUGAGGUAAAAACCCUAGGUUUUGUUAAGUGUGAAGCUAGGGCACCCAUAAUCGGGGCUUUUGCUUGUGAGGGUUUUAAAGUGAAACUGACCCUUUAGAAACCUAAUUAGGGGUAUUUUCGACGCGUUGGUGCGCUCGGUUUAACGUUACGAAAAGCUUAUGUAAAGUUAUGGGCAAAAAGGCCUAAUUUGGCUUCGUUUUGCCGCAGGUGACGAACUAAGCGGCUAAAAAUCCCGAGAAAAUCACCGUAGCACCUAAGUAAGCCUACAAGGUGGGUGGUGCUCUCCAAACUUGUUGGAAUUCGCUUUAUGUCUAAUGUGUCACUUCUUGAGCAUACAUAUGUAAUUGUUGCAUGCAUAGUAGGGUAAUGAGAUUAUAAAUAUGUGAAUGUUUGCAUUUUGUGAGUUCAAAUGCAUCAAGAGAUGGUUGAGAACCGAUGAGAAUGUAAUAACCUUAUAUGUGCAUGUAAAAGAGAUAAGAGCUUAGCAAAGUUAAAGAACGAGUGACAUAUGACAUGAGGACAAUGUAAUGUUGAGAAUGAAAGCUAAAGUUAGCAUGACGUAUGACGUAAACAACACUAGAGCUAAUGUGUGUGGCAUUAAAGGAAACAAAUGUGGUAUAAAGAAUGAUAAAAGCUAGAGUUAGCAGAUGUGUGGCAUCCAAGAAUGAUAAUUGCUAGAGUUAGCAACAAAAUGUGGCAUAAAGAACAAUGGCUAGAGAUAGCAUUAAAUAUGUGGCAUAACGGACACUAGAGUUAGUGUAAAGACAUGAUGAAAGUAAAGAAUGCAAAGAACAUUAGAGUUAGUGUAGUGACAUGGUCAAAGUAAAGAAUGCAUAGAACAUUAGAUUGAGACACGAUGACAUACAACCUUAGAGCUAAGGGUCAUUGUGCAUAAUUCCUUAGAGUUAAGGAACAGAUUGAACUGAAUAUUCUUAGAGUUAAGGAUUGAUCAUACUCGCUGUAAGUCCUUACUUGAGGGUGGUCGCUCCCCCUCGGGCGAUGCGCUCCGGAGUUUGUCAUCACUGUGUUGAGUUACUCAGAGGAUGGUCCUAGCGGGAGGAAGCUGAGGGCCCGCGAUCAUGGAUUUUGAGUUGGUGAGUUAAUGAGGCGAUACCCCCGGGUUAGCCUUGAGAUUGAACGAAAGAACAAGAACAAAGAAUAAAGUACAAAGAACAAAGAUCAUGCAUUCUUCAUGAGUUGAUAUUGAGAAUUUUUAUUGAUCGCAUUGUUCAGGCAUAUUAGUUGCAUUUGUAUAGUUGGCUACUUAUCUGCUUAUUCUUUCUAUUAUGCCUGAGUUAGACCUAGUGAAAAAGUCGGUGAGAUUGGGGCCGAACCCACUGGGAACUUCGUUGUAGUUCUCACCCCACUAUUUUCACAGAGCCGGGACCGAGUGAGCCGGCAAGCGACCGCGGUAAAGAUAUCGCGCCAUAGAUAGUGACCACCCGAGUUGGGUUUAUAUUUUGUUAGUAGCUUACCAUGUAUCUUCUUAUGUAUUUGAAUAUGGUUAUGUAUAAAGCAAAUGAGAGAAAAGAAUGUAAUGUUUCAUUUGGAGUAAAAGUGAUGUAAAAAGAGAUGAUGAAAAGCAAUGUAAAGAAAAAUGUUAUGGUUGAAUGAAAUGUAUAUGAUCAAAAGUGAAUCAUAGUACUUAUGUUGUAGUUAGCUUCCUUUCUUUCACUCAUGGCUGUUGCUUACCCUCGUGUAAGCCGUUUGUGUAUGUUUCCACUAGUGCUUUUCUCUACUUGAAAAUAUACAAGUGAUGAGCCUUGGGCGGACAGGGCAAACUCUGUCCGUUCGGCAUCUGUUUGACGUGCCCGGGUCGGCCCAAAUUGGUAUCGACUCCGGGGCGUGAUAGAUAUUGUGGUAUCAGAGCCAAAGUGAAAGAAUAGGAAUGGACCUAGAGACCCUUAGGAUUGGAAAGGACUCAAGGAUCUUGGAAACGUGAGUGACGUUGGAUCGAAGUUAGCGAAAGCAUACGAUUGGGUCAAGUUGGGAUGUCUCUAAUGUGAUUAGAGGCUAAGUUUGAAUGGAUGUUCAUUCUCUACUCCUUGUUUUGUGUCGAGCGGCCGACGACAUAAUGCUUAGGGCGAGAACGAAUGCGUAAGUUGCUUUCGCCGAAUUGGGUAUGGCUGAGUAAUGUUGGUCAUGUAGCUAAUGCGAGUUGCUUCUUUUCGGGAAGCAAUGGCACCUGGUGGUCGACCACAGACAAGGUCAAUGCCGGAGGAGCCGAGUGCGGCGCCCGAGCAAUCCGGAGCUAGUGGCGACAGUGAACUUCAGGAGCAAAUGGCCGCGCUUAUUGGCAUAGUGCGGUAACAAGCGGAGUCUAUUCAACGCCAAGGGGAGCAGAUUCAACGGCUCCAGGAGGCUUUGGAGCGUCAGCAAGCGGCGACGGCCCAGGCGGGUGCCGAGCAUGUCGCACCCCCUGUGGCAGUGCCGAGCGUGGUUGAGGGAGCGGCGGCAGCGGCGGCUGUGCCCGUCAUGGUAGUACCGGCCGGAUCGGGAACCUCAAAUCCCGAUAGUGCGGCAGUUGAGGUGGAGCGAGAGCGUGCGUUAGUGGCUCUCAUUCAGUUCCAGAAGUUCAACCCACCUGUCUUUGAGGGCGGAGUGGUGGAGCCAGCGGUAGUGGAGUCAUGGAUCGACUCAAUGGAAACGCUCUUCGAGGAUCUCAAUACCUCGGAGAAGGACAAAGUGUACGUCACCAUCCAUUGUCUCGAGAAGGCGGCGAAGGUGUGGUGGAAGCGAGUUAAGCGGGAUCGACCUACCGAUCUUCCGCUUAUGCUUUGGGAGGAGUUCAAAAGAGCGGUGUUCGCGAACUACUUCCCCGACACGGUAAAGCGAAAAUUGCAAGAGAAGUUCCGCAAGUUAAGACAAGGUGAUCGAUCGAUGGGAAAAUAUGAGCAAGAAUUCUCUCACAUCAUCGACUGUGUUCUGGAUGUUGUGCGAGAUGAUCGAGACCGGGCUGAUUGGUUCUUACAAGGACUCUAACCGAGGAUAUACGAGAAGAUGCAGAUCUUGAAGUUGACGACCUUUGCGGAGGUCUUUGAUCGAGCCUUGUUGGCGGAGCAUGGUAGCGCCCAUGUACAAGAGAAAUGGGAGGCUAUGGCCGAAAGUAAGGAUAAAGGCAAGAAGAGAACGGCGGGCGGUGCCGGGAGGCGGCAGAAUGCUAAGAAACCCCCUUGGUAUCCUAGACAGCAGUCAAGGAACUGGAGACCACCUAGGUGCGUUAUUUGUGGCGUAGAGCACCGAGUGUCGACUUACUCGCAGCGCGAUGGCAGGUGUUUCAAGUGUGGCCAACUGGGACAUCUUAUCCGGGAGUGCUCGAGCUGGACGUCGUCUGCGCCAACGGCGGCAUCAGCACCGUCUACCGCGAGACAACUUGUGGGGUUGCCACCAACGAUGUCGAUUGGGCGCGCAUCAUCACCGCGUCAGCCGGAGGGAUCGUGAGCGCCUAGCGGCCGAGUCUUUGCCGCUAAGGUGGAGGAGCAACCUGCAGCACCCGACGAUGUCGUGGCAGGUAUAAUUAUGAUUAAAGGCACUAGAGCUAGAGCUUUAUUCGAUACUGGUGCAUCUCAUUCAUUCAUUGGUGCAUCUUUUGCAAAAACUCAUGGUAUCGAAAUAGUGCAUAGUUAUGACUAUUGGUGGGUCAAUGCGCCGGAACAUUCGUUCAGAGUGCAUGAGGAGUGUUUGGCUUGUCCAGUGCAAAUAGGCGAUUGGAUUAUGCUGAUAGAUCUGCUAGUGCUAGAUCAGAUAUGGGGAUUUGAUGUUAUCUUGGGGACCAACUGGCUCUCUAAGUACUAUGCAAUCAUAGAUUGUAAAAGCAAGGUAAUCACUUUUUGUGAGCCGAAUCGGAAAGAGUUCGUGUACCAAGCGUGCAAGAGCUCGCGCUUCGCGGCGACCGUAUCGUCGGUGAGGGCGAAGAAGAUGAUCAAAGGAGGGUGUAAGGCCUAUUUGGCAACCAUGGUAGAUGCUCGAAAGGAGUACCCAGAGUUGGGGGAUAUUUGAGUAGUGUGCGAGUACCCAGAUAUAUUUCCGGCGGAGUUACCGGGAUUGCCACCGGACCGGGAGGUCGAAUUCUUUAUUGACUUGAUUCCCGGGACGGAACCAGUUUCGAAGGCUCCAUAUAGAAUGGCACCAGUGGAGCUAAAGGAGUUGAAAGCACAACUACAAGACUUGCUCAAUAAAGGCUUUGUGAGGCCGAGUGUGUUACCGUGGGGAGCUCCGGUGCUAUUUGUGAAAAAAAAGGAUGGCAAACUUCGACUCUGUGUAGACUAUCGCGAGUUGAACAAAGUAACGAUUAAGAACAAGUACCCGUUGCCAAGAAUUGACGAUUUAUUCGAUCAGUUGCAAGGGUCCAAGGUGUAUUCGAAGAUUGAUCUCCAAUCAGGGUAUCAUCAACUAAAGAUUAGGCCGAAGGAUGUGCACAAAAUGGCGUACCGUACACGGGAUGGCCAUUAUGAAUUCACGGUAAUGCCGUUUGGGCUUACUAAUGCCUCGGCAGCGUUUAUGGACUUGAUGAAUCGUGUCUUCAGGCCGUUAUUGGAUCGAUGCAUCGUGGUGUUUAUAGACGACAUAUUGGUUUAUUCGAAGAGUGAGAGAGAGCAUGAGGAGCAUUUCAGAGCUGUGCUACAAAUACUCCGACAAGAGAAGCUCUAUGCAAAGUUAACGAAAUGUGACUUUUGGUUGACGGAGGUCACUUUUUUGGGUCACGUGGUAUCGGGCGACGGAGUGUCAAUAGACCCGAAGAAAGUGAAGGCAAUCAAGGAUUGGCCUCGCCAGACAAGUGUAGCGGAGGUCCGUAGUUUUUUUGGACUCGCAGGCUAUUACCGGCGGUUCGUGGAGGGGUUUGCUAAAAUAACUACUCCACUAACGCGCCUUACUCACAAAGGAGUAAAGUAUGUCUGGAGCGAUGAUUGCGAUCGGAGCUUCGAGGAGUUGAAAGACAAGUUGACGUCAACCUCGGUGCUUGCCUUGCCGACUCCGGGGGAGACCUUCGUAGUGUACAGUGAUGCCUCGUAUGUCGGUCUCGGGUGUGUAUUAAUGCAAAAUGGGUGAGUCAUUGCAUAUGCUUCGCGCCAAUUAAAGAGUUAUGAGAAGAACUACCCGAUUCAUGACCUCGAGUUAGCCGCGGUGAUUUUCGGCUAAAGCUUUGGAGGCAUUACUUAUAUGGUUAACAUUGUGAGAUAUACACAGAUCACAAGAGUCUCAAAUACUUAUUCACCCAGAAGGAAUUGAACAUGCGACAGCGGCGGUGGUUAGAAUUGUUGAAGGACUAUGAUGUCACUAUACUAUAUCACCCCGGGAAAGCAAAUGUCGUGGCCGAUGCUUUGAGUAGAAAAUUUGUCACGCCCCAACCGCGCGGCCCGAAAACGGUACCAAUUUGGUCCGGUUCGAGGGCGGUGGCGCGACCGCCGAACGGACGGAGUUUCCCCUGUCCGCCCAAGGCUAAGCAACAGAUUGUGUACAACAAGUCCCCAGGAACACAACUUGAAUAUAUACACAAUCAAACAACGAUGAACGAGAGCACGAACAGUGCUACAACCAACUAGAGCAAGCGAUACAAGUAAAAUCAUACAAGUAUACAAAAGAGAGUAACUUAGCUAUUUGAGACAUCAUUGAAAACAUCAAACCUCUUUCGAUAUCAUUUAAACUUUAAACAUUUAAUACAACUUGCAUUCUUUUCUCAAAUGAAUAUACAUCAUGAACUCUCCAAAAACCUCACCCUAUACAACAUCUACUCUCAAAGCAUAACCAAAAGUACAGGGUAUAGAGCUAAUGCAAGUAGGUGAAGGAAGCUAUCUAUCAAAGCUAGGGCGCUAUGCCCUNAGAAAAUUCUAGAUCUUCUGUUUUCAUCCCGAUUUCAGCACAAGUCACUUCUGACUUAUGUUUUACUUCUCUAAAUCCAAUAAAAUAGUAUCUCAUACUAUUUUUACUUAUUUUCACUUUUAUAUUAAAAAUCCGGUAUGUUACAUUCCACCGCAGCCUCACCGGAACCAUUUAAAUGGCUUUCCAAUCGAACGUACACUGUAACCUCAUGAUUUUCGAAGUCCGGUAUCUUACAGAAUUACUAGUUGGUUGUAUAGUUGCAUUAUUGCAUGAUCUUCAUAUUGCAUAUCGCGAGGCAAUGCAUGGUAUUGUUAGUUGCAUAAUCCUAUUAUCAUAUCUAUCUGUUUAUUGAACUAACCUGCAGCUUGCCUCCUUCGGACCUGUCGGUCGAGGUUUUCCCUUGGGUGGCCGUACCCACUGGGAACUAUAGAGUUAGUUCUCACCCCACGUUGCUUUUGGGGUGUUACAGGUUCACACGUGAGCGGCGCGAGGCGAGGGCGUAGCUUCGUAGAUAGCGCCCAACCACCGUUACCAGAGAUAGCGGUACCCAAGUCAGCCAAGCUAGGGGUUGUAGAAAAGGAAAGCAAAAGGAUCAAACUUGUAAUAAUUUUGUGAUGAUUGAUUGUAUUCGGAAGUUUAAAUGUAUUUGAAAGGAAAAGAAAUGUAAAUAAUAUCAAGUGAAUGAAUGUAAUAACUUAGGAUGUGUUUAUAUUGUUUGAUACCUUUCUUAUGCAAUCGUUGUAUGUUGAAUACUGUUCCUGGUUGGAACCUGUUGUAAUUGUAUUGAUUGCGACGCCUAGGACGUACAGGGAAAACUCUGUCCGUUCGGCGGUCUGUCGACGUGUCGAACCUGACCAAAUAGGGGGAGCUCGGGACGUGACACUGAGAGUGUACAUUCACAACGAAUACAUUUUCGCAAUCAAACGAGUCAAUAUUGGGACCCAAUAAGACUUCAACUAUGCGCAAUGUCACGCCCCAGACCGCACCUCCCGAAAACGGUACCAAUUUGGUCCGAUUCGAGGGCGGCGUGCGCGACCGCCGAACGAACAGAGUUUCCCCUGUUCGCCCAAGGCUAAGCAACGAAUUGUGUACAACAAGUCCCCAGGAAAACAACUUGCAUUCAUACACAAUAAACAACGAUGAACGAGAGCACAAACAGUGCUACAACCAACAAGAGCAAGCGAUAUAAGUAAAGCCAUACAAGUAUACAAAAGAGAGAAACUUAACUAUUUACACAUAUUUGAAACAUCAAACCUCUUUCGAUAUCAUUUAAACUUUAAACAUUUAAUACAACUUGCAUUCCUUUUUCCAAAUGAAUAUACAUCAUAAACUCUCCAAAACCUCACCCUAUACAUCAUCUACUCUCAAAGCAUAACCAAAAGUACAGGGUAUAGAGCUAAUGCAAGUAGGUAUACUAUCGGCAACAUCUACAACUAUCAACGAAUGAAUGGGUCGAGAUAAUAAACAAGUACGUAAGUACUAAGGUCUAACUCCGUAUCGAACUAUAUCAACAAAUGGAUGGCGAAAAACAAAUCAAGUCAAAAUAUACAUAUAACGUAUAUAUAGAGAGAUACGGACGAACUCUGGAUCACCCAUCUAGCCGCCUCAGCCGCCGGCUUGGGUGACCCUUGAUAAGCAUCAAGAGUGAGGGCACACCAAAACCCUCAUGUCCAUGUGACCUGUCGCCCGGAAGCAGCUACCUAGCGCCAUUCCCGUAUCGCGGGAUCGAAACUAUCUAUCGAAGGAAGNGCUAGGGAAAUCCACCUAUCCCUAUGUUCAACAUCAUAGUAUCUCAAGUACCCUAGGUUCACAUCCAACCUAUGUUUUAAUAACACUAGGUUCGUAUAUCAUUCUUAUCCAUCCUAGGUUCAUGACACUAGAUUCACAUGCCACCUAUGUUCUUUUAACACAAGGUUUAAUGCCACUCGAUCUAUUCGACACCUAAUUGUCCACAUCGAGUUUCUAUAAUUAUCCACAUAUUCUCUAGCACAUGCUUGCAAUACCAACAUGCAUCCCACCUAACAUAACAACUAUAUGUUAAUAUGCAUACUCUCUAUCAUGAUCUCAUGAUGCUACUAUGCACCUAGCAUAUAAUCCACAAUGCAUAUAUAUUCUACAUUAUGUCCCAAUACCUUUAUAAUUUUAGCAUAUUCCAUUUACAUGCCUUAACACAUUCAUGAUGCCAUCAUGCACCUAUUCCAAUCAUGCCAACAUGCAUAUUAUACUUCAUCCAAGGUAGCUAUUUCAUAGUAUCUCAUGCAUUCACCCUAAGCAUUCAUCUAUGCAAUCAACUACCAUUAUACAUAUAUAUGCAUCAACGAGAAAGCACAUUUCUCUUCGACAUGUAGGCGACCUAGUCUCUUCGGUAAACACAACUCACCUCAAUUCGCUCUCCGGUUGCUUGUAGUCACUUGCAAUCGGCCUCUCGCGGCACCCGCCGCCCGGUUCGGCUCGAACUUGCACUCGGCCAUCGAACGACUAAGAAUCCACAAUCCGGAGAUAAAAGGUAUUUAUCUUGAUGUCACGAUGCCCCGGAUCCGAUUUUGCGAUUUUUGGAUGUCGCCUCGGCCCUCAAGGCAGAAACGAUGUUCUAAUUGUCUGUUUUCCCCAUAUCUUUGCAUCGGCUCGACAAAUAGCCGAACCGACUUCGCCAACGCGUUCGUUUACCUAGCAAUUAGGUUUACAGAGGGUCAAUUAAGAUCAAACCCUUAUAUUUCCAAAAACCCCAAAUCUAACCCUAGGUUUAGCAACAAUAGAGAAAUCAUGGUUUCAAGCUCCAAAUUUGGGAUUGAACCUUCUCUUAAGCUUCAAUGGUUUCCAUUUAAACCAUUCUUAAGCAACAUAACCCUUUCUAAAACCUAGGUUUAGCAUCUAUGAGGAAAACCAUGGAUGCUAGCCUCAAUGUGAGCUAGAUCCAUCAUCUCUAAACUCAUUAGGUUCUACUUGAACCAUUUAAAAGCAACAAAACCUACAAACCCUAGAAAUCUCAUGUUUAGGGUUUAGGCUUACCUCUAGGGUUUGCUCCAAAGCAAGCCCUAGGCCAAGAACGAGAUGAAGAAGAGCUUCCAAGCCUUCUUCUCCUUCUUCUCCUUCCUUUUCUUCCUCUCUUUCUCCUUCUUUUUCCUCUCUUUUUCCUUUUCUCCUUCUUCUCCUUCUAUUCGGUUAGAGAGAGAGAGAGCUAGAGAGAGAGUGAGCUGGGGAGAGUGAAAGAGGAGAGAGCUGAGAGUAAGAGGGAUAUAACCUCUAUUGUAACAAAAUGCUAAAAAGCCCUCCUUUUACAGAUUUUGCAACUUAACCCACUGCUUGCGCGCCCUUGUACCGGUACACGGGACCUUGUACCGGUACAGGCCCUUAAAUCGAGCGCUAUCCGAGCCUCGGGUCAAUCUGUUUCGCAGAGCUUGUACCGGUACAAGCCAGCCUUGUACCGGUACAGCGCCUGAAGCCUUCGAACCCGAGAUUACGCAGCCUGGCUGCGAUGGUUGUACCGGUACAGCCAUCACCCUUGUACCGGUACAACAGCUCCAGAUUGCUGUUUUUCAAUCUGUUUUGAUUUCUUUUCGCGUCCAAUAACGCUAAAACUAUUCCAACACUUUUGGAACUCAUUUUUGCUCUUCCAAACAUAUUGAAACUCCGAAUGGAACUCGUCCAAUUCGUUUAAUCGCUCACUUUGGUCCAUUUGGAACUCAUUUUUGCUCUUCCAAACAUAUUGAAACUCCGAAUGGAACUCGUCCAAUUCGUUUAAUCGCUCACUUUGGUCCAUUUGGCCAAGUUAGCCAAUAUCGUCGAAUUUCGAUAUCUUACACGCAAAGUGUGUAUAUUCAUAACCAAUACAAGUUCGCAUUCAAACGAACAAGAAUUGAAACCUCAUAGGACGGUUCUAUUGCGCCCUAAGAGUGUACAUUCGUAACGAAUACGUUUUCGCAAUCAAGUUGACCNUCGUCCAAUUCGUUUAAUCGCUCACUUUGGUCCAUUUGGCCAAAGUUAGCCAAUAUCGUCGAAAUUCGAUAUCUUACAAAAUUGGCGGAGAACUUAGCGAUGGCAAUUACGCCUCAAACGCUAUUGCACAAAGAAAUGCAACGACUUGGGUUGGAAGUGGUAGCGCCGGGAGUGCCCGCUACACUUACCGCAUUAGUUGUGCAACCGACCCUAUUGGAAAGGAUCAAGGAACUACAAGCUUCGGAUCCUUAUGUUCAAAAGGUUCGAGGUGAAGUUGAAAGUGGAAGAGCCAAGGACUUUGGCAUUGGAGCCGAAGGCGCACUUCGAUUUCGAAAUCUUUGGUGUGUGCCUAAAGAUGAUGAUAUUCGAAGGGCGAUCAUGCAAGAAGCGCAUUAAUCUCCCUAUAGUAUACACCACGGUGGCACUAAAAUGUACAAGGACUUAAAAGUACAUUAUUGGUGGCCAGGCAUGAAAAGAGAUAUUGAGGAGUUCGUGGCGCAAUGUCUAACGUGCCAACAGGUGAAAGCAGAGCGCCGAUUUUCGGCGGGAAAGCUACAAAGUCUAUCUAUAUCCGUUUGGAAAUGGGAAGAUAUACCGAUGGACUUUAUUACCGGUUUGCCUCGAUCGCAAGGCGGACAUGACGCGAUAUGGGUGAUAGUGGAUCGACCGACGAAGUCGGCUCAUUUCUUACCGAUUCACACUACGUGGUCGGGAGACAAGUUAGCUCAAGUGUAUCUUGACGAGGUUGUGAGACUUCAUGGGGUUCCGGUAUCUAUUGUAUCGGAUCGAGACCCCAGGUUCACAUCCCACUUUUGGAAGAGCUUGCAAGACGCGCUAGGCACACGGCUCAACUUUACCACAACGUUUCAUCCUCAGAGUGAUGGACAGUCGGAGCGGACAAUACAGAUCCUCGAGAACUUGCUUCGAGCAUGUGUACUAGAUUAUAAAGGAGGAUGGCAUGAUUUCUUGCCGAUGGCGGAGUUCGCAUAUAAUAACAGUUAUCAAGAGAGCAUAGCGAUGGCGCCAUUUGAGGCACUGUAUGGUAGGAAGUGUCGUUCUCCUAUUCAUUGGAGCGAUGUGGGUGAGAGAACGGCUCUUGGCCCGAUGUAGUGCGGGAGGCGGAGGAAAAUGUUCGCAUUGCUCGUCAACGGUUAGUAACAGCACAGUCAAGGCAAAAGAGUUAUGCCGACAAGCGAAGAAAGGAUUUAGAGUUCGCGGUUGGAGACCGCGUAUUUUUAAGAGUAUCGCCGAUGCGAGGAGUCAAACGUUUUGGGGUCCGUGGGAGGCUAAGUCCCCGUUAUGUCGGACUAUUUGAGAUACUAGAGCGUGUGGGUGCGGUAGCGUACAGGCUCGCACUACCACCGAGACUCGCGGGAGUUCACAAUGUGUUUCAUAUGUCAAGUCUCCGAAAGUAUAUUCGCAAUUCGACACAUGUAUUAGAGUAUGAGCCCGUGGAGUUACAUGAGGAUAUGACUUAUGAGGAGUACCCGGUGUGCAUCCUCGAUAGAGAAGAAAGAAAGCUGCGGAGUCGAAGAAUUCCAUAUGUAAAGGUUCAAUGGAGUAACCAUGCUGUGCGAGAAGCCACUUGGGAGCUCGAGGAAUCAAUGCGGAAAGAGUAUCCGCAUUUAUUUGAGUCGACAAGUUAAGGUAUGCGUAAUUUCGCGGACGAAAUUAUUUUAAGGGGUGGAGAAUGUAAUAUACCGAGACUUCGGUAAAUAAAUAUCGAACUUUAGUCAAAUUGACAAAAAUGCGAGGAUGGUACCCUUCGGAAAGUCCGAAGGCGUUAAAAUGAGUAAAAGUGCAUUGUGGGAGGUUUUCGAGAGCUAAAGGAUUAAAAAUCUGCAAACUGCAGAUUUUGUGCUCUCGGGGACCGGUCCCUGGUGGGAGAGACCGGUCCCCGAACGCGUGACAAAUGAGAAAGCUGAAAAAUUAGCUAAGUCCCAGAAAACUAGCUCUCGGGAAUCGGUCCCUGCGGGGAGAGACCGGUCCCUCUGGGAGAGAACGGUUGCAUUGCGUGGGGGUCUUGGUUGCCGGCGGGGAAAGCUCUCUCGGACCGGUCCCUUGUCGGGGACCGGUCCCCGAACACGAAAACUGCCCCAGUUUUGGCAGUUCAAGAGAAUAAAAGCUGAGGGGUUUAUUUGCAAUUAUGCAACCCAUGGGUUAUGUUAUGAGGGGUUAUGGGAUAUUUCUCUCAUUCUCUCCCUCUCACACCCUCAUAUCUCUCUCUCUCUCUUUCUCUCUCUAGAAGACAAGAAGGAGAAGAAGAAAGAAAGGAAAAGAAGAAGAAAGAAAAGGGAGAACAAGAAGAAGAAGGAGUAAAGAAACUCCCUCCUCUCCUUCUCUAGCUUGAAGAAAGGAAAGCUUACAAGGUAAGCUUCUUCCCCUCUCAGGGUAGAACCCAAACUAGGGUUUCAAUGGACCUAGAAAUGGUUUUAAUGGGAUCUCUUGAGUAGAUUAAGCUUUCUUUUGCUUGUCUUUGAGAUAAAAACCCUAGGUUUUGUUAAGUGUGAAGCUAGGGCAUCCAAAAUUGGGGCUUUUGCUUGUGAGGGUUUCAAAGUGAAAUUGACCCUCUAGAAACCUAAUUGGGGGUAUUUCUGACGCGUUGGUGCGCUCGGUUUAACGUUAUGAAAAGCCUAUGUAAAGUUAUGGGAAAAAAGACCUAAUUUGACUUCGUUUUGCCGCAGGUGACGAACUAAGCGGCUAAAAAUCCCGAGAAAAUCACCGUAGUACCUAAGUAAGCCUACAAGGUGGGUGGUGCUCUCCAAACUUGUUGGAAUUCGCUUUAUGUCUAAUGUGUCACUUCUUGAGCAUACAUAUGUAAUUGUUGCAUGCAUAGUAGGGUAAUGAGAUUAUAAAUAUGUAAAUGUUUGCAUUUUGUGAGUUCAAAUGCAUCAGGAGAUGGUUGAGAACAGAUGAGAAUGUAAUAACCCUACAUGUGCAUGCAAAAGAGAUAAGAGCUUAGCAAAGUUAAAGAACGAGUGACAUGACAUAAGGACAAUGUAAUGUUGAGAAUGAAAGCUAAAGUUAGCAUGACAUAUGACGUAAAGAACACUAGAGCUAGUGUGUGUGGCAUUAAAGAGAACAAAUGUGGUAUAAAGAAUGAUAAAAGCUAGAGUUAGCAGAUGUGUGGCAUCCAAGAAUGAUAAUUGCUAGAGUUAGCAACAAAAUGUGGCAUAAAGAACAAUGGCUAGAGAUAGCAUUAAAUAUGUGGCAUAAAGAACACUAGAGUUAGUGUAAAGACAUGAUGAAAGUAAAGAAUGCAAAGAACACUAGAGUUAGUGUAGUGACAUGGUCAAAGUAAAGAAUGCAUAGAACAUUAGAUUGAGACACGAUGACAUACAACCUUAGAGCUAAGGGUCAUUGUGCAUAAUUCCUUAGAGUUAAGGAACAGAUUGAACUGAAUAUUCUUAGAGUUAAGGAUUGAUCAUACUCGCUGUAAGUCCUUACUUGAGGGUGGUCGCUCCCCCUCGGGCAAUGCGCUCCGGAGUUUGUCAUCACUGUGUUGAGUUACUCAGAGGACGGUCCUAGCGGGAGGAAGCUGAGGGCCCGCGAUCAUGGAUUUUGAGUUGGUGAGUUAAUGAGGCGAUACCCACGGGUUAGCCUUGAGAUUGAAUGAAAGAACAAGAACAAAGAAUAAAGUACAAAGAACAAAGAUCAUGCAUUCUUCAUAAGUUUAUUGAGCAUCUUUAUUGAUCGCAUUGUUCAGGUAUAUUAGUUGCAUUUGUAUAGUUGGCUACUUAUCUGCUUAUUCUUUCUAUUUUGCCUGAGUUAGACCUAGUGGGAAAGUCGGUGAGAUUAGGGCUGAACCCACUGGGAACUUCGUUGUAGUUCUCACCCCACUAUUUCCACAGAGCUGGGACCGACCGAGCCGGCGAGCGACCGCGGUAAAGGUAUCGCGCCAUAGACAGUGACCACCCGAGUUGGGUUUAUAUUUUGUUAGUAGCUUACCAUGUAUCUUCUUAUGUAUUUGAAGAUGGUUAUGUAUAAAGCAAAUGAGAGAAAAGAAUGUAAUGUUUCAUUUUGAGUAAAAGUGAUGUAAAAGGAGAUGAUGAAAAGCAAUGUAAAGAAAAAUGUAAUGGUUGAAUGAAAUGUAUAUGAUCGAAAGUGAAUUAUAGUACUUAUGUAGUAGUUAGCUUCCUUUCUUUCACUCAUGGCUGUUGUUUACCCUCGUGUAAGCCGUUUGUGUAUGUUUCCGCUAGUGCUUUUCUCUCCUUGAAAAUAUACAGGUGAUGAGCCUUGGGCGGACAGGAAAAACUCUGUCCGUUCGGCGUCUGUUUGACGUGCCCGGGUCGGCCCAAAUUAGUAUCCACUCCGGGGCGUCACACCCGACGCCGUCGUGCCCCACAUCGCUGCUACGGCCGAGGGGAACCAACCCGAGUUCGUGCGACCACAAGGUCCCACCCGACCGCCGCAGCUGCGCAACGCGACCCUAACCCUCCUCCGCCGAUCCUGGGAGGAUCCCCAGCACUAUCACUGACCUCCCAAAACUGCCGGAGAGGCCGCGCGUGCAUGCCUUAGCUGCGGCCAUGUCUUCGGCUCUAUCGUAGCAGCCGCGUCGUCGCUGCCUCCCGCUGCCGCCAAGGGUCCCAACCCCUCCCUCUGGGUGCGGUGACCACUCACUGGCCGGAGCUCAUGUUGCCGUGCCACCAGCAGUCCCCUUCCUGAUGCCCUAGCUCGGCUCAAGCACUCACCCGAGGCUAUUUUGGGGCCGAUCUUCAUUUUUGGUCACCGAAGAUUUCGGCGAGCUUCCGAAGCAUGGGCACCUUACUCUUGGGACCCUAUGGAGUGCCAUGCUCACCUUUUUUGCAAUCAGUGAGGCUCCGGUGAGCGCAGCGAUCUUGGUCGCUUCCGGGAUCAAGUCAUCGGUGGUUUCUCUUGCUGUUACGAAGCCUUCUGGCCAUCGAUUGCGCUCCGAACAGUGAGCACGAGCAUCCUUGCAUUGAGUCGAAUCAAAUUGAUCGGUUGGUGGGAUCCGUUGCAACACGGAUCGGGGUAAUGAGCUCGAAACUCAUGUUUAUGUAUUAAUUAUAUACUAUUUAAUGCUAUAAUAGGAUCACAUGUUUUAUGCAUUAUGGAUACCAAGUACUACCCCAACAGCAUGAAUUUGUUGUUGUUCGGGAGCUGUUGCAGAGUUAAAACAUGGCCCCACGGCGUCGUUCGGUGAAAAUUCACCAAACGAACGCGAGUUAGUUGGUGGGUUUUGGUGUUCUAGCAUUGUGGAUAGCUCAGGAACCCCGCCAUGCCUUGUUGGCUGGUUGCUACAGCCAUCCUCGAAGUAUGAAGGUGGCAGAUUAGUAGCAGAAUGGUUUUGGAGCCUAUUUCGGCGAUUUCGGAAACCUGGUUCGGCAGAUUUCUGCGUAGUCGAUCCUUUAGUUUUUUGUUGAGGGUUGUUGCUUCCCGGGCAUUUGUUUUGGAGCAUUUGGGGACAGCGUUUAAUUACAAUAGGGAUCAGGGAUUUUCGGAGCAGUGUGUGCGGAAGCGCCCGGUAAGUUCCAGAAGUUCCGGCGAGUUUUGAGUUAUCGAUUUCGAUAGCCAUUUGUUUGGGUUGUUUGGGAGUCUCUUUGGGUAGAGCUUGACUUAAUGGAUCUUUGAUAGGUCCGGGGGAUGGCUUCACGUGUUCUAUAAUUCAGGUUCUCGGUGGUAUAGGUGGGUAUUUCGAUCCGAAGUCGAUUCAACGGUAUACACUCAUUGUCUUCUUUCGUUUUUUUCUUUUUUAUGAUUGCCUACUUUCUCAUGCACGUAUAUUGAAUAUCUUGCAUGACAUUGAGUAUUCAUCAAUCUACUCUACGGUUACCUUGUCUUAUAGUAUCAUGAUUAUAUGUUAAGUAUCUUGUACACUAGGUUCUCAUUAGUCUACUCUAUGGUUGUUCUAUCUUGUAGAGUUGUGAUUGAUCUAGUAGGUUGAGUAGUUCUUCGUUGAUUGAUUAUCGUUGUAUGACUUGAUGUUUGGUUAUAUUUUGUGCUUAGCAAUACGAUUAUAUGUACUUGAUAGGUUAGUGAUAUAGCGACAUUCCUUCAGAAAGAUAGACCUGAUUUGGUCGGAUAUUGUUGUGUAUGUUCUUUCAGCUUUUUGCCGUUGUUGGCCAUUGAGCAUAUUACAUCGAUUGCCACAGCUCAUGUGGAUUUCACGUACACCAGCGGUCUCAUCCACUGCAUAAUGCAUGGAUCUAUUUUAUCUUAGGAUAGGUAAAUUGUAUGCUCUUGAAUGUGGAAUAGAACCUAAUAUUGCAAGUCAUAACAUUUCAUGUAUGAGAUUGGACAUUGGUUAUUGAGAACCAUGAAUAUACUUGUGAACUAGUGGUAAGACUAGAGUAUGGAUUUAGACAAAACUUGUGUAGCAUUAGGUGUAUUGAUAGUUGUAGAACUUGAACCUAGUGACAUGUAUUGAGUGGAAUUUCAAGUGUUAAUGAAGGUUUGAGUCAUUGGAUAUAUAGUGUGACAACUAGGAUCUUGCCAUUGGGAUUGAAAUAUAUCCCCAAAGGUUGUUAUUGGGAUUGAAAUAGAUCUAUAGUAAAUUGUGACAACUAGCACCUUGCCAUUGGGAUUGACAUAGAUCCCCAAAGGUUGCUAUUGGGAUUGAAAUAGAUCCCAAGAUGUUGUCACAAGGGUCAAUAGUGAGUUUUCUUGGUUGAGAGAAUUAGAUCAUACUCGCAUAGUCUGUUCCAGCUUGUGGAGGUCGCGACUCCAUAAGCAAUGAGCUCCGGAGUGCCAUGCGUAUGGGUUGAGUGGUUGAUGGCUCAAGGUGGGUGAUUGGGUAGUGUAGCUCCUUCCCACGUGGCUUAGAGAUGUGAGUUGGGCUCGACCUCAGAGUGAGCCGAUAUGAUUGGGUCAUGAGGUAAAAGAGGAAGACAACUGAGUAUAGUAGGUCUUGUCUUUGGUUACCUUAUGGAGUAUUAUAGUAGUGUCAUAUAUUUGGUGACGGGUCAAUUAUGUCUCCUCAACAAGCAGCCCAAGGUCGGUGAUUACGCGACUCCCCAUGUGGCUGAGAGGGUUGAGUUGGGCUUUGAUCGUAUGGCAAGCCCCCUGAUUGGGUCAAGAGUAAGUAGGGGAUCAAGUUGAGCAUUUAGGGCCUUGGAACGUGUUUUCAUUCGUAAAGGCAUAAUAGUGUUUAUUCCAGUUUAUGUGUAGUGUAGUUGUUUACUACUUGGUUGUUGUAUUUACUUUUGUCUUGAUUAGACCUAGUGGAAAAGUCAGCAAAGUCGGCAGCCGAACCCACUGGAAACUUCUUUUAGUUCUCACCCCUGUUUUGCAGAGCCAACCAGGAGCGGUGCGGCACCAAAUCGACCAUGGGCAUUGCGCCUUAGAUAGAAGGGUCAUUAAGUAUAGGUUAUCUGUGUUCAAGUAAAAUAAAAAAUUGUAAAGUUAUUUGGAACAGAAAUGUAAUUGAGAACAAAGGUUGUAUUUUGAGGAAAUUGCAUACACCAUGUAUUAUGUAUCUAAGUUGGAAAAUGUAUGUAUAAAUGUGAUUGUUCCAAUGUUGUAAUAGUUAGAUUUACAUUCUCGCUCUUGUGAUAGGCCCUCGCGUAGAGCUGUAUUAUAUUAUUUUUUCUGGGUGAAAUUUGAUGUAUUUGCUUUUAUUUACUCCUUGGACGGAUAAAGAAAAGUUUAUUCGUUCAGCGGGUCUGUGCAUGUGCUUGCAUAGCCUUCACUGUGAAACAGGGUGGGGUGUGACAGAAACUAAGAAACAAACUCAGUGUAGCCCCACUAUUUAUAACAAAUCAGGCAUUGCUCUUAGAAGAAGAGUAGAUAGUUUAAGAAGAAAGCAAAAAUCAGGAAGGCAUACGGUUAGAUCGAGAGGCUAUACAACCUGUCAGGCCCAAGUACACCUUUCCAACCAUUUAUAUUGGCGAAUGCAUUCCACUUCGCCUCCACAACUUGUAGGAGGGCAUGUUGCUAAGGAGUACAACGAGCACGCCAUCCGAGACAACAAAAGUGGUCACAAAAACCCCGAAAAGAGAGAGAGGAGGUGAGCCUAUACUCUUUGCUAGGUCAUGGGGAAGACAGCGACAGCCUACUCCACAAUGUCCUGGUAUACAUGGAGAUAAUUGUAAGGAAGUGAAUUCUCGAAAUCCGAGAGUUGGACAUCGCUCUGAAGCGACUAACUGUCGAGUAGGUAGGCUUCGAAAGAGCCGAAGAUGUCUAAAACUUAAAAAGUGCAUUGGGGUUGUAGUCCACGAGAGCAAAUAGUGCAAAUCUGCACUUGGCAGAUUUUUGCUCUCGGGGACCGGUACCUGGUAUGGGGGACCGGUUCCCGUAAGCAUGGUGUGCUGCAGAAAAUCUCUGUGCACAAGUAUUGCUCUCGGGGACCAGUCCCUGUUCGGAGAGACCGGUCUCCGUACGCGCAACCAGUGAGAACAAAGAAAAUUUGGCUAAGUCCUGAGAGCUCUGCUCUCGGGGACCGGUCCCUGGCGGGGAGAGACCGGUCCCCGUACGCGUAGAGAUUGGCUAAGAGCCUCAGCCUGCAUGAAAGGCUCUCGGGGACCGGUCCUUCCAGGGACAGACCGGUCCCCGAGCACGAAAACUGCCCAGGCAGAGCAGUUUGAAAGAAGCAAAGUUGAGGGGUUUGGGUGCAAUUGUUAUAUUAGUUGAGGGGUAUAGAAGGGAUGAGCCCUCUCUUCUCUCUUAUUCUCACCCCAAACACACAUUUCUCUCUCACUCUCUAAGCUCUCUCUCUCUCCCUUUUCUUGAAGCAAAGAAGAAGGAGAGGAAGAAAAGGAAGGAGAAGAAGGUGGAGAAGAAGGUGAAGCAUGCAAGGAGAAGGCCUUGAUCAUCUUCCUCUUCCUCCUCACACCAUUGUAGCUAGCUCAAGAGGUGAGCUUCUUAACCCUAAUGGUAGAAACCUAGGGUUUUGGAAUUUCUAGCUUUGUGAUUGGGUCAAAUGGAUAGGUGUCUAAACACGUUGGCGAAGACGGAUUGAGCAUUUGUCUAGCCGGUGAAGAGUUAUCGGCAAAACAAGACCGAUUGGGCUUCGUUUCCACCUAGGAGGUCGAAGCGACAUAGAAGCAAGUGUCGAGUAGCGUUCCUAGCACCCCGACAUUGUCGAAAGGUAGGGGGUGUCAUCCUGAAGCAACCGGGUUCCUCUCUAUGUCUUAGUACUUCAUGAUUUGCAUCUCUUGCAUGUUGCAUUGUAGGAUUGCAUGUUAUUCCCUUCCUUAUGCUUGCUACAAUAUCAGUGUAUGAGUUGAAUGCAUGAUGAUGGUUAGAUGAGGAUUGGGUCUUGACAUUGGAUUCUAUAGUGUCGAGAAAAGAGAUGAACUCGAUGAUUGUUAAAGACGUAAUGAGUGGCAUUGACUGUUAAGCAAACAAGAUCGAGUGGCAUAUAACUUAGUGUAAAUGACACUAGUAGCAUGUGAACUUACAAAUAGGUGGAUUCCCUAGUAAAUGGCUCGUUGGACAAGAAUGUAAUGUAGCCAAACAUUCGUAUUUGGACUUUGGGAUAGGUGGAUUCCCGAGUGACUUGUAGCCCUAGCCAGUAGGGUAUCCUCGAGUUGAGAGGAUAGAUCAUAUUCACAGUCUGUUCAUACUUGUGGUGGUCGCACCACCCAGGUCUUCGUGCACUCUGGAGUUUAGCGCGAGAAGGGCAGAGUUGAUGUCCCGCAGACGGUCCCGGAUUUGAGAGCGAGGUGAGUCUCUUUACCAUAUGGGAUGGCGAGAUGAGUCGUGGGUGAACCCAAGGGAUCGCCAUGGAUUGAUUGAGCACGAGUAUAGCUGUCACGCCGCGAGACUGCUACCCAUUUGGUCCGGUUCGGGCACGUAGAACAGACGCCGAACGGACAGCACCUCCCCUGUCCGCCCAAGGCUCAAACACGGGAUCAUGUACAAGAAUUCGCCCAGGAACAAUUCAAUACAUACAUGAUCCAUACAACGACAAUAGAAGCACCACGAGUGCUUAACAACAAGAGCAAGUAACAUAAGUAUAUAAACAAGUGCAAAAAGAGAGAGAGCUCUAUCUAUUACAUCACAAUCAUUUACCGUUUACAUUUGUUUUAUCCAAAAUAUAGGUACAAGUUUAUUCACAUCUCUACAAAAUGCAUCUCACAACCUAUACAUCAUCUACUCUCAUAUACAUAGGCACCUCUAAUGCAGUAGAAGAGCUACUAAUACUAGGGCGCUAAGCCCUUACCGCGAUCCUCGCCCGGAGCGCUCGUACUCGGCCCUGCAACAAAGUGGGGUGAGAACUAUCGUCCAUAGUUCCCAGUGGGUUCGGCCGCCGACUCCGUCAAUCUCCCUACUAGGUCAAAGUGGGCACAAGCAGAUAGAUAGGUAGAUAGAUAUGCGAAAGCAGUAACAACAUAAUAAGAAAGCUAUGCUACUGUGCCCGAAUCAUAUACAAUGUAUGCAUACUCAACGUGAUAGAUAAUCAACUAACAUGCCACUAUGUCCAAGAAGUAAUGUUAUUUACUUGUUCAUCAAUUUUCUUGACUUAUCCAAUCCUUGGCCAACCCUGAGGUUCGCCCACGACUCACAUGCAUCUCAUGGUAAGGAAACUCAACUCGCUCACAAACCCGAGACCGUCUGCGGGACCCCAUAAGGCUAUCCCUCAUGUGACAAAACUCCGGAGCACAUGCUUGCGUGGAGCGACCACCACAAGCUCUGAACAGACAGUGAGUAUGAUCCAAUCCUCUCAACUCGAGGAUACCCUAACCACUAGGGCUAACAGUCACUCGGGAAUCCACCUAUCCCAAUGUCCAUAUGCAAGUGUUCAACUAUACUAAGUUCUUGUUCAAUGACUCAUUAUUAGGGAAUCUGCCUAUCCCUAAGUUCACAUGUCAAGUGUCACUUUUACACUAAGUUAUAUGCCACUUGUUCUGUUGUCAUUGUUAUUCACAUGCCACUCGUUUUGUCUUAUCAUUCAUCGAGUCCAUCUCUUACCUUAGCACUAUAGGAUUCAAUGUCUCGACCCAAUCCCCAUCUAUCCACUAUAUCAAGCAUUCCACUCAUACUAUGAUAUUAUCUAGGAAAGCAUAAGGAAAUGGAAAUGCACAUUUAUCCUACAAUGCAUAUAUGCAAGAGAUGCAAGAUUUAAAAUACACUAAGACAUAAAGAGGAGCCCGGUUGCUUCGGGAUGACACCACCCACCUUCUGGCGUUGUCACGACACUAAGAAUGAAGUUCGGCGAUCUUACGAUGUCGUCUCGGCCACCAAGCCGGAAACGAAGCUCGGAAGGUCCUUUUUGCCAAUAACUUUGCACCGGCUCGACGAAUCGUCGAACCGUCUUCGCCUACGCGUUUAAACACCUAACAAUUAGGUUUACACUUGAUCAAUUUAGAUCAAACCCAUCGAUUUCUCGAAAACCCAUUUCGGAGCCCUAGGUUGCGAUUAACGCAAUCGACUCCAAUUAAACCCUAGAUUCAUGCAAUUAAGACACCUCCAGCAUCAUAGAGUUUAACCAAAACCAAUUCUAGAGUAUUUAAACCUAAACCCUAGAAGAUACCAGUAAUGGGUUUGGAGCUUACCACCAAGAGCUUCUCUAACUUGAGGAAGAGAUGAAGAAGGUGAUCCUCUUCUUCUGUCUUCUUCUCCUUCUACUCCUUCUCCUCCUUCUACUCCUUCUCCUCCUUCCACCUUAGAGAGAGAGAGAGAGAGCAAGAGCUUAGAGAGAGAGAGAGCUAGGUUUGUGUUUGGGGAAGAAAAUGAGAAGAGAGAGAGCUCACUCUCAUAUAGCCCCAACUCAUGCUAUAAUUGCAUAAAAGCCCCUCAACUUUGCCCACAUGACACAGCCCAUUUCUGGGCUUUUCGUGGUACGGGGUCCGAACCCUAAAGCUAGGGUCCGGACCCCGAGAGUUGGGAAACUCUGAAAAUUGCAAAUCCUCCAACCCAAAUGGGUUUUCGCAGCUACGGGGUCCAGACCUUAUCAGUAGGGUCCGAACCCCGAGAGUUACCAAAGUGUGCAAAAUGCAUACUUGCAAUUUCAACAGCCCAAGUGGACUUUUCGCAGCUACGGGGUCCGGACCCUGCUGCUAGGAUCCGGACCCCGAGAGUGGAAAACAUGCAAAAAUGCAGAUUUGCAAACUCCAACUCUCCAAGGUCCUCCCUCAAUUCACUUUUCGCAUUUUCGCCGCAUUCGGACCUUCCGAAGCACGGCCAAUCGACAAUAAGUCGAUUCCAAACGAAGUUCAACUCUCGGAUUUCGAGAAUGCACUUCCUUACAAUAGCAUUGUUAAUUGAACAUUUGCUUGUUGGACAUGGAUAGUGGACAAAGUGGCAUGUUAGUAAACCAUUUACUAUAUGAUACAUGCAUACAUGACUUAUGAUUGGGCAUAGUAGCAUAGUUUUUCUAUUAUGUCAUUUACAGCUUUCAUAUCUAUCUAUCUAUUAUCUGCUUUUGCCCACUCAAACCUAGUGGGAAAAUCGGCGGAGUCGGCGGCCGAACCCACUGGGAACUAUGGACAAUAGUUCUCACCCCACUUUGUUGCAAGGCCUAGUACGAGCACGCCGGGUGAGGACCGCGGCAAGGGCAUCGCGCCCGAGCAGUAGUACAUAGUAGCUUUCCUGUUUUGCAUUAGUAUUACCCUAUGUAUUGAGAGACUAUAUAGGUGAGGAUUAGAGACCUGUUUAUGUAUUUUGGUGAUGAUCUAAUAAACCAUGUAUACAUUUUUGGAAAGAAUGUAAAUGUAACUCGGGGUAAAUGAAUGCAAUGGAUGUAAUAGCUAGUAGAUCUCUCUUUGUUCACUUGUAUGCACUUGUGGAUUCUUGCUCUUAGUAUGUUGGCUCUGUUUGUGCCUCUGUCGAUUGUGUAUAUUUAGAAUUUCAUUUCUGGGUGAAUUCUUGUACACGAUCUGAUUGUUUAGCCUUAGGCGGACAGGGGAGGUGCUGUCCGUUCGGCGUUUGUUCGACGCGCCCGAACCGGACCAAAUUGGUAGCGGUCGCGGGGCGUGACAGAUAAAUAUGGUAUCAGAGCAAAUAAGAGCAAGUAAAGAGAGAAAGUCUAGGAUCGACCUAGGAGACCCUAGGUUGGUAAACCCUAAGGUUAUAGGUGCGUGAGUGGAACGUGAACCUAUAACGGUGGCGGAAGUUGAUUCGAUUGGGUCGAAAUGGAGUAUAUGUCUCUAGUAGUUGCUAGAGAUGGAUUCAAGUGGUAUGAGUUCUUGUCUUGAGGUGGUUACGUUGGCUGCCGACAACAUGACGCCGAGAGCCUAGAACGAAUACACUUGUGUGCUUCCGCCCGAUUUCGUUGUUGAUUGUUGAGUCAUAGUCGCAGCGAUAUUGACGGGUUAAGAUGGUUAACCAAGUGUUUGCGUUUCAGGAGCUAAUGGCCCCGAAGAGACGCUACACGCGUAGAUCGGCUCCGGCACCGCCUCCCGAGGUGCCAGAGCAGGUUGAACCUCCACGAGCCCUAGAGCCUCCUGUGGUGCUUGCCCAAGCCGGGCCGAGUGAGAUGCAGGAGUUGCGGGCACAAGUGACCUCACUUGCGGGUCAAUUCGGGUUGCUCCGAGAGUUGAUGGAGCGGUAAUUAGCAGCGACGACUGCCAUGGCGACGGACGGUCGUGUUCCACCCGCACCCUCGGCGCGUGAGCCCGAAGCGGCUGAGGGUGAGGGUAUAGCGACAAUUCCGGUGGCAGCACAUCCCCCGCCGAUAGUCGUCCCUCCUGCGGCGUCGGGAUCAAGGACACCCGAUGCGGCGGCCAAGGAAGCAGAGAAGGAAGGCGCGUUGGCGGCUCUAAUCAAGUUCAACAAGUUUCAUCCGCCCAUCUUCGAGAGGGAGAUCGUGGAGCUGGUGAUGGCCGAGUCGUGGGUCGACUUGAUGGAGACGCUCUUCGAGGACCUGUCCACCUCGGAGAGGGACAAGGUGCACCUCGCCACACACUGUUUGAAAAAGACGGCGAAAGUGUGGUGGAAGAGAGUGAAGCAAGAUAGGCCUUUAGACCUUCCACCAAUGCUGUGGGAAGAGUUCAAGAGGGCGAUGUUCGCCAACUACUUCCCCGAUACUCAGAAGCGGAAGCUGCAAAAGAAGUUCCGCAAAUUAAGACAGAGGGACCGCACUGUGGCGGAUUAUGAGCAAGAGUUUUCCCACAUCAUUGACUGUGUCCCGGAUGUGGUGAAGGAUGAUAAGGACAGGGCCGAUUGGUUCUUGAGGGGGCUUCGGCUGGGAAUCUACAAAGCCAUAUAGAUAUUCAAGCUCACGACCUUUGCGAAGGUAUUCGAUCGGGCGCUGUGGGCAGAGCACGGAGAUGACCAUGUGCGCAAGGAGCAUGAGCUUUUGGCCGAGUCCAAGGAUAAAGGCAAGAAAUGUCAAGGCGGUGGUUCGGGAGGGACAGACGAGUUCUAAGAAGCCCCCGAAGUAUCCGCAAAUUCAGUACAAGGGCUGUGGAGAGCGGCGGUGUGUCAUUUACGGCGAAGACCACCAACCGUCGCGUUGUAAUCAGCGCCAAGGCAAGUGCUUCAAGUGUGGGCAACCGGGGCACUUCAUACGUGACUACCCGAGAGGUGGAGCCUCGCCUGCCCCGUCUAUUGCAUCGGUGCCGGUGAUCCCAGCUCAUUAUGGAGGAGCUCCACCGACCGCUGUGUCGGCGGGACGUGCGAUGGCACCGCAUCAGCCCGAGAUGACACGAUCGGCACCGAGCAGGCGGGUGUUCGCAGCUCAGACACAAGCUGAGGAACCUGCUGAGCCCGGGGAGCGCCACGUGGUGGCAGGUAUGAUUUUAAUUAAAGGAGUUCGCUCCCGAGCUAUGUUUGACACAGGUGCCACGCAUUCAUUCAUAAAUAGAUCAUUUGCACAAAUGCAUAACAUCGAGAUACAGAUGAGUAAAAGCACUUGGCGUGUAUCGGGCCCUGGGCGUGAUUUUCUAAUCCGCAAGGAGUGUUUAGCGUGCCCAGUACAAAUAGGCGAUUGGAUAAUGCCGAUCCGCAUGCUGGUGCUCAAAAAGCUGAAAGCGCUCGACGUCAUGUUAGGCAUGGAUUGGCUUUCGAAGUACCAUGUGGCGAUCGACUGCAAGAGCAAAGUGCUUACCUUUCGUGAGCCGGGACAAGAGGAGUUUACGUAUCGGGCUUGUCAGAACUCAUGCUUCGCCGCAACGGUGUUCGGGACGAGGGCAAGGAAGUUGGUCAACAACCGCUGCGCAGCAUACCUGGCGACCGUUGUGGAGGUAGACCGAGUAGCUCCCACCUUGGAGGAGUUGUCGGUAGUAUGGGAGUUCCCGGAUGUGUUUCCUGCGGAGUUGCCGGGGAUACCGCCGAAUCAGGAGAUUGAGUUUGUCACAGACUUGAUUCCCUGUACCGCGCCGAUCUCGAAGGCCCCAUAUAGAAUGGCGCUGGCGGAAUUAAAGGAGUUGAGGGAUCAAUUGCAAGACCUCCUCGACAAGCAGUUUAUUCGACUGAGUGUAUCACCGUGGGGAGCCCCGGUGUUGUUCGUGCGAAAGAAAGACGGAUCGUUCCAACUUUGUGUGGAUUAUCGAGAAUUGAACAGAGUCACGAUCAAGAACAAGUACCUACUUCUCCGAAUCGAUGACUUGUUCGACCAAUUGCAGGAGUCGUGUGUGUAUUCAAAGAUAGAUUUGCAAUCCGGUUACCACCAACUGAAGCCGGAAAACGUAAAGAAAACCGCGUUUCGCAUGCGAUAUGGAAAUUAUGAAUUCACGGUUAUGCCUUUUGGGCUUACGAACGCCCCGGCGGCAUUCAUGGAUUUGAUGAACCGUGUCUUCAAGGAGUUCCUGGACCGAUUUGUCGUGGUCUUCAUAGACGACAUACUGGUCUAUUCUCGCAAUGACGAAGAACACGCUGAGCAUUUGAGAUUAGUGCUUCGAGUCCUUUGGGAGGAGAAGCUAUGUGCUAAGUUGAAGAAGUGUGACUUCUGGCUCCGAGAGGUCGCCUUCUUAGUGCACGUGAUUUCCGAGGGUGGAGUCUCAGUAGACCCGAGAAAAGUUGAGGCAAUCAAGGAUUGGCCGCGCCCAACAAAUGUCACGGAGGUCCAAAGCUUCGUGGGUUUGGCGGGCUACUAUAGACGGUUUGUAGAGGGCUUUUCGAAGAUAGUAAUUCCACUUACCCGUCUAACUCGGAAAGGCACCAAGUUCGUUUGGAGCGACGAGUGCGACCGGAGUUUUAAAGUAUUGAAGGAGAAAUUGACCUCGACACCAGUACUUGCCUUACAGGUGCAAGGUGAAGACUUUGUGAUCUAUAGCGAUACAUCUUAUUUGGGUUUGGGGUGUGUCUUGAUGCAGGGCGGGAAGGAAAUCGCUUAUGCGUCCCGUCAGCUGAAGAGCUAUGAGAAGAAUUACCCCAUCCAUGAUCUAGAGCUUGCGACGGUGAUCUUCGCCGUGAAGUUGUGGAGGCACUACUUGUAUGGUGCGCAUUGCGAAAUUUACACCGACCACAAGAGUCUGAAGUAUCUGUUUAUACAGAAAGAGCUUAACAUACGACAGCGGCGGUGGUUAGAACUGUUAAAGGAUUAUAAUGUGGAUAUCCUCUACCACCCCGGAAAAGCGAAUGUGGUCGCUGAUGCACUUAGUCGCAAGUCGGCGGAGAACCACGCGUUAUAGGUCACGAAUCAGAAGCCUCUACGGAAGGAAAUGGGGUGAAUGGACCUUUAGGUUGUAGCUCCGGAGAUUCCGGCACAGCUGAUGAUGCUCGUUGUCCAACCGACCUUAUUGGAGAGGAUUAAGAAUCUACAACCCGCGAACUCGAGUCUCCAAAAGGUGCGGCGCGACAUUGAGGAAGGUCGUGGCGGCGAUUUCACAGUGGACGCCAGUGGCGCGCUUCGAUUCAGAAAUCGGUGGUGUGUACCGAACGAUGAGGAGAUUCGAAAGUUGAUUUUGCAAAAGGCACAUUGGUCUCCUUAUAGUGAUCGCCUAGGCGGCACCAAGAUGUACCAUGGCUUGAGAAUGUACUAUUGGUGGCCGAGGAUGAAGGCUGAUGUUGGAUGCUUCGUGGCGAAGUGCUUAGUAUGCCAACAAGUGAAGGCGGAGCGCCGAUUUCCAGCGGUAGAGCUUCAGAGCUUACCAAUCCCCGUUUGGAGAUGGGAAGACGUGUCAAUAGACUUCGUGGUCGGCUUGCCUCGCUCAACGGGCGGCCAUGAUGCAAUAUGGGUGAUUGUGGAUCGAUUAAAGAAGUCGGCUCACUUUUUGCCGAUCUACACCACUUGGGCAGGUGACAAGCUAGCGCAGGUGUAUCUUGACGAGAUAGUGAGACUACAUGGGGUGCCUAAGUCGAUUGUGUCGGAUCGCGACUCCCGGUUCACUUCACAUUUUUGGAAAAGCCUGCAGGAAGCCCUGGGCACACGGCUCGACUUCAGUACAGCAUUCCAUCCUCAGACAGAUGGGCAAACAGAGAGAACUAUUCAAACUUUGGAGGAUAUGUUGCGAGCGUGUGUCAUCGACUAUAAGGGAAGUUGGUGCAAUUACCUGCCGAUGGCCGAGUUCGUCUACAACAAUAGUUAUCACGCGAGUAUGGGGAUGGCACCGUUCGAAGCUCUUUACGGGCGGAAAUGCCGAUCUCCUAUACACUAGAGCGAUGUGGGCGAGCGAGCUGAAUUCGGGCCCGAUGUGCUGCGAGAAGCAGAGGAGAAAGUCCGCCUUGCUCGCAAGAGAUUGCUCAUGGCGCAAUCAAGGCAAAAGAGCUAUGCGGAUAAACGCCGUAGAGAAUUGGAAUUCACGGUAGGCGACCACGUGUUCUUGAAGGUCUCACCCAUGAGGGGUGUAAAGCGGUGUUGGAGUGCGGGGAAAGCUAAGUCCACGGUACAUUGGACCAUAUGAGGUAUUGGAGCGGAUUAGUACGGUAGCUUAUCGGCUAGCUUUGCCGCCGAAACUUGCGGAUGUGCAUAACGUAUUCCAUAUCUCUAAUCUUCGUAAAUACGUUCAUGAUCCCGAGCACGCUCUACUAUAUAAGCCACCGAAACUCCAAGAGGACUUGAAUUAUGAAGAAUUUCCGGUGAUGGUCAUUGCUCGAGAAGUGCGAAAACUAAGAAAUCGCGAGAUUCCUUAUGUAAAGAUUCGGUGGAGCAAUCAUGAUGAUCGCGAGGCCACCUGGGAACUCGAGGAUCUGAUGAGAAAGCAUCACCCUCACUUGUUUGAGGAAUAGGGUAUGAGUUUAAGUUUAAGUUAGGGAUUGGAUUGGUUUCGAGGACGAAAUUUCUUUUUAGGAGGGGAAGAUGUAAAGAAGUGAAUUCUCGAAAUCCGAGAGUUGGACAUCGCUCUGAAGUGACUAACUGUCGAGUGGGUAGGCUUUGGAAGAGCCAAAGAUGUCUAAAAUCCAAAAAGUGCAUUAGAGUUGUAGUCCACCAGAGCAAAUAGUGCAAAUCUGCACUUGGCAGAUUUUUGCUCUCGGGGACCGGCCCCUAGUAUGGGGGACCGGUUCCCGUAAGCAUGGUGUGCGGCAGAAAAUCUCUGCGCACAAGUAUUGCUCUCGGGGACCGGUCUCUGUUGGGAGAGACCGGUCCCCAUACGUGCAACCAGUGAGAACAAAGAAACUUUGGCUAAGUCCUGAGAGCUCUGCUCUCGGGGACCGGUCCCUGGCGGGGAGAGACUGGUCCUCGUACGCGUAGAGAUUGGCUGAGAGCCUCAGCCUGCAUGAAAGGUUCUCGGGGACCGGUCCCUCUAGGGACAGACCGGUCCCCAAGUGCGAAAACUGCCCAGGCAGAGCAGUUUGAAAGAAGCAAAGUUGAGGGGUUUGGGUGCAAUUGUUACAUUAGUUGAGGGGUAUAGAGAGGAUGAGCCCUCUCUUCUCCCUCAUUCUCACCCCAAACAUACAUUUCUCUCUUUCUCUCUAAGCUCUCUCUCUCUCUUUUCUUGAAGCAAAGAAGAAGGAGAAGAAGAAAAGGAAGGAGAAGAAGGUGGAGAAGAAGGUGAAGCAAGCAAGGAGAAGGCCUUGGUCAUCUUCCUCUUCCUCCUAACACCAUUGUAGCUAGCUCAAGAGGUGAGCUUCUUAACCCUAAUGGUAGAAACCUAGGGUUUUGGGAUUUCUAGCUUUGUGAUUGGGUCAAAUGGACCCCUAGCAUGCUUGUUAGUAGAUGAAUGCUAGAAUCUAGAGCCUUGAUGGAGUGGUUUUGCUAUAGUGCAAGCCUAGGGCACCCAAAUUGGGGUUUUCCUAAGUAGAGUGGUUUGAUCUCAAUUGAUAGCAUCUAAACCUAAUUGAUAGGUGCCUAAAAACUUUGGCGAAGACGGAUUGAGCAUUCGUUGAGCCGGUGAAGAGUUAUCGGCAAAACAAGACCGAUUGGGCUUCGUUUCCACCUAGGUAGUCGAAGCGACAUAGCAGCAAGUGCCCAGUAGCGUUCCUAGCACCCCGACAUUGUCGAAAGGUGGGGGGGUGUCAUUCCGAAGCAACCGGGUUCCUCUCUAUGUCUUAGUACUUCAUGAUUUGCAUCGCUUGCAUGUUGUAUUGUAGGAUUGCAUGUUAUUCCCUUCCUUAUGCUUGCUACAAUAUCAGUGUAUGAGUUGAAUGCAUGAUGAUGGUUAGAUGCGGAUUGGUUCUUGACAUUGGAUUCUAUAGUGCCGAGAAAAGAGAUGAACUUGAUAAUUGUUAAAGACGUAAUGAGUGGCAUUGACUGUUAAGCAAACAAGAUCGAGUGGCAUAUAACUUAGUGUAAAUGACACUAGUAGCAUGUGAACUUACAAAUAGGUGGAUUCCCUAGUAAAUGGCUCGUUGGACAAGAAUGUAAUGUAGCCAAACAUUCGUAUUUGGACUUUGGGAUAGGUGGAUUCCCGAGUGACUUGUAGCCCUAGCCAGUAGGGUAUCCUCGAGUUGAGAGGAUAGAUCAUAUUCACAGUCUGUUCAUACUUGUGGUGGUCGCACCACCCAGGUCUUCGUGCACUCUGGAGUUUAGCGCGAGAAGGGCAGAGUUGAUGUCCCGCAGACGGUCCCGGAUUUGAGAGCGAGGUGAGUCUCCUUACCAUAUGGGAUGGCGAGAUGAGUCGUGGGUGAACCCAAGGGAUCGCCAUGGAUUGAUUGAGCAAGAGUAUAGUAUUGUUAAUUGAACAUUUGUUUGUUGGACAUGGAUAGUGGACAUAGUGGCAUGUUAGUAAACCAUUUACUAUAUGAUACAUGCAUACAUGACUUAUGAUUGGGCAUAGUAGCAUAAUUUUUCUAUUAUGUCAUUUACAGCUUUCAUAUCUAUCUAUCUAUUAUCUGCUUUUGCCCACUCGGACCUAAUGGAAAAAUCCGCGGUGUCGGCGGCCGAACCUAUUGGGAACUAUGGACAAUAGUUGUCACGCCCCGCGACCAACCGCCAAUUUGGACCGGGUCGCGGCGCCGACGACUGACCGCCGAACGGACAGGGGUUUCCCCUGUAUGCGGACAGAGUCUCCACUGUACGUUCUAGGCGUCGCAAUCCAAACAAUCAACGAAUGUUCCAACUAGGAACGGAUAUUAAUCCAGAUUGCGUAAGGAAGUAUCAAAUACAUAAAACUAACUGCUAUUACACGCAUUCAUUUUACAUCCACAGUAUACAUUUGCUUAACUUCCAAAUAUAAUUACAAUAUUACAAUUUAUUACAAGUUUGCACUUUGUCUCUAAACCCCUCAAGCUAUACCACCAACUCGGGUAGUGCUACCUCGGUCUCUGCGGUAGGGCGCUAUCUACGAAGCUACGCCCUCGCCUUGUGCCGCCGCGCCGCACACGUACAACCUGAAAACACCUCGAAACAAUGUGGGGUGAGAACCAACUCCAUGGUUCCCAAUGGAUACGGCCACCCAAGGGAAAAGCUCGACCGAUAGGUCCGAGGAGGCACUGCAACAUGUUAGUUCAACAAUAUACAACAGAUAUAUUCAAUUGAAAUACAUGCCAUGCCUCAUGAUAUGCGAUAUGGAAAUCAUGCAGCUCUAUGCAACAACUGGUAGAUCAUUUGAUUCUACGUUUAAUUGGCUACUCUUAGCUCAUAUCUUCGCUCUAAGGUUUCUAUUACCUUAGGAUCUCAACUCAGUCCACUGGCUUCUAAGGUUUCUAUUACCUUAACUCAAGCCUCUAUCUCUAGCUCAUAGGGUUUCUACUACCUCUAUCAAGCUAACCACCCAACUCGGCUUCGAGUCAAUCAUCCGCGGAUAGUCCACGCACUGGCUGCUCCUCAGCCUACCGCUCUUUCUGUCUCAGCCUCCUAGCGGCGAAGUCGUCGCACACGCUAAGCACGGCUCAAGUCGCAUGACUUGACCAUCUGGCGGCGAUCACGUUGCUCUUACCCAGCGUGAGCUUGAGUCAUGACACACCGUCUGGCGGCGAACGAAUCACACCUCACCCAACAACGGUACAUGUCAGACUCAGCCACCUGGAAGCACCCGCAUCGUACUUACCCAGCAUGGAUUCAGUCUGCUCUGGCGGUCUGAUCCUCAAAUGGCUUAACCAUCCGGCGGCGAAAUCGUCGCACAAACGCCACAACAAUGGUUCAAGCCCCGGGCGGUGAUCUCCAUGUGAUCGCCCCCAAUCCUCCCUCGGUACCAAGCUCAGCGGUGAAGUCGUCGUACACGCCCUAGCCUCUACCAGGGUCAUCACAAGUCAUGGGAUUCCGGAAUCCACUUUCCACAGGUCGAGGGUCCAUAGCCAACCCUAUACUGUCGACCUAGCUCAUCCUAGUGGCUGUACCACUAUAUCCAUCAACCUAGGUUUCAGCACUCUAGGUUCUAUGUUCAGGUCACUUAACCUAGUUACAAUUGCUAGGUUCUUGUCCUCCUUGCCUAGAUGUCCAUCUCUAGGUUUACUAGUUCGACCUAGUUUGGUGAUGAUCUAAUAAACCAUGUAUACAUUUUUGGAAAGGAUGUAAAUGUAACUCGAGGUAAAUGAAUGCAAUGGAUGUAAUAGCUAGUAGAUCUCUCUUUGUUCACUUGUAUGCACUUAUGGAUUCUUGCUCUUAGUAUGUUGGCACUGUUUGUGCCUCUGUCGAUUGUGUAUGUUUAGAAUUUCAUUCCUGGGUGAAUUCUUGUACACGAUCUGAUUGUUUAGCCUUGGGCGGACAGGGGAGGUGCUGUCCGUUCGGCGUCUAUUCGACGCGCCCGAACCGGACCAAAUUGGUAGCGGUCGCGGGGCGUGACAAGAAUGGUGGAUCGGCAUGGUAGAGAUAGAGAGAUAAGGAGAAGCUGGAACAGCAGAGGAAAUAGAAACACUAGUGUCACGCCCCUCGACCGCCAAUUUGGUUGGUCUGGGUACGUCCACAGACGCGAAAUGGACAGAACCUCCCCUGUACGCCCAAGUCUCCACCCAACAUGUAUAGCAAUUCAACAAUGAUAGAAUUUGCGUAUAUAUGGCUUGCACGAGGGCAAGCGACAACCACAACAAGUGAAAGCACUACUACUAUUCCAUUCAUACAUGUAUCUUGAUUACAUUUAACCAAAUACAAGCUUUCCACAUAUUACAUUCUUUUUCAUAUUUACAUCACAUGUCUCUCAACAAAAUAUAUGAAUUUACAUCAUUUAUACAUAACCAUUUUCAUCAUAAACAAAAGAUGAAUAUAAACAGGGUACAAAACUAAACCCGGGUAGCCGCUAUCUAGGGCGCGAUGCCCUUACCGCGAUCCUCGGCCGCCCUGCUUGUGCUAGGAUCUGCAAAGUUAGUGGUGUGAGAACUAAUGAAAGUUUUCAGCAGGUUCGGCCGCCGACCCCGCCGACUCGCCUACUAGGUCUACUUAGGCAUAUGUAGAAAAAGGAUAGAUAGAUAGCAAACCAAACUAAUGCUACUACAAUGCCUGAACAAGAACUAAAUCAACAAGUAAUAUGCUCAUGCUGCAUGCAUUUCACCUUUACUUUUGCCAUUACCCAAUCUGCUUGGUUAACUCAUGGUUAACCUCAACUCACCAACCAAAUCUCAUUCUAUCGGGGAGAAUUCCGUUACAACCCGACGGACCGUCUAUUGGAGAGAAUUCCGCUACAACCCAGUCGAUGACCACUGCGAAGCUCACUGCUUGAGGGGGAGCUACCAUCCUCAAGCAUAUAGACCAACUGUGAGUAUAAUCCAAUCCUCAACUUUGAGGAUACCUUGCUAGUAUUGCCACAAUGCUUAUAAGGUUCUACCUUGUCUAGCAUACCAUGUUCCAGGUGCUAAUCAUACCCGCUAAUGUCAAUGUCACCUUUGUUUACUAAUGUCAUAGUCCAACAUCCAAUUCAUACAUUUAUAGAGUUUCUAUAUGCAUGGUCCAUUAUCAAUUCAUAUGUUCAUUUAGCAUACAAGAGAUUCCCAACCAUAGUUACAUAUCCCAAUAACCCUACCAUGCAUGAAUGCCACAAAUACAUAUAUAUGCUCAAGAAAGGUAACAUAGACAUAAUGAGAAUUCGAUGAUUUCGGAUAGCACCCCCCACCUCGUAGGUGUUAGAUGUAUGCCCUAGAAGCCAACCAGGCCGACACAUAUAUUUUUUCUAGGACAUAAAUUUGUAUUUGAUUUUAAAAUAUUAUGAAUAAAUUUGGGUCCUUAAUUCCAUUCAUGUUGUGUAUAUGUCCAUGAAUCGUCUAAGGAGUUAACAAGAUGAUGACAUAUAUUCUCAAGAGUUGAGAAUUUGAGACAUGUGUCAUUGGUGGUUAAUUCCUAAAUGCUCCCGAUCAAUGGAUCAUCAUGGGAACGGUGAUUGAUCCAGUGAGAUUGGUGCAUAGGUCGCUUCCCUUUUGGGUAGACGGGUCUCGAGUCGACAAUGUGGGGACACUGAAGUGAAUAUGCAAGUGGUUGUUAGAGAACAAGGGUACCGAUUGUGACCAACGCGAGAAGUCACUUGGAUGUCUACUCACUCAUCAGUGACUUACUCAAUGUUGCAGUAGUGUGACUGGUCCUUUGACCUGCGGUGCCUCGGCUAUUCACAAUGAGGUUACUGUAGUUUGACUGUACAUACACUUGGUCCCUAGCCAUUCGGGUCCUUGCGGUGCAUGUUGACUGCAGUAGGUUUAUUGUAAGAAUAGGGUGCGCACUUAGAUGGAAUCUAUCUCCCUUGGUAGAUAGGGGUGUUAGUCCUAUGUGAUUUAUUAGACCGAGUUUAGAAGACCUUGGCCAGGGCAGAGUUAAAAGCGGAAAAAGGUUUCCAAUAUUACAAACUCGAGUCGAAUAAAUUUAACAUAUGACAGACGAUGGGGUUUGACGAGUUAUUCCAUAACCUCCGUCUAGUCGGGACUCAUGAUAGAAGGAUUAUAUCACACGGUAACUGCACCAAGAGGUUCAGUAUUUUAUUCUACUGGAAUGCCACUACAUGCUGUUAGGCGUCACUGGUGAAUUGUGAGACUCAUGAGAAUUUUCUAGAUGAUCGAUAAUUCUCAUUGGGCUAAGUUGGAAUUGUUCCGAUCCACUAAAAGGAGUUUCAGUGAUAUUGUUAAUAGUGAUCAAAAUAUAUCUUACUACCAGAUAGAAUAGAACCUAUGGGGUCACACACAUAAGAGGUUGUGAUUGAUUGGAUAGCUAGAUCGCGAUUAUUGAAUCGUCGGAGGACCUAAUUGUCAAUAUGUUGAUAAUUGGACUAAUUUGUAAUUAUUACAAAUUAGUGGUAUUAAGGUGUAAAUAUUACUAGAGAGGACUUACUAAUAGUUAGCAAAUUAUAAAAGGACUUUAUGUGCAAAUGUUGCGUUAUUAAUUUGAUAUUAUCAAAUUAAUAAAAAGUUCAAGUCGAAUCAAAUUAGGAUUUGAUCGAUUUAACGAAUUAAGAAAAGGAUAAAUUUAAAUUUAGAUUUGUACUUAUCCUUAAUGGUUAUUAUAUUAUUAAUAAGAGGAUUAUAUUCUUCUAUAUAAUAAUAUGGGAGUUUUUAGAAAACCCUAGCCAUCAUCUCUCAUCUCCUUUCUCUUCCAUAUUCUAGCAAGAAAGACGUCCUUUUGCAAGGGAGCUAGCACCUCAGUAAGGAUAUCGAUCAAAUCAAGAACCUCGUGUGGAUACCUAUAGAGGCCGGACGCGUGUACAGCUUCAAGAGAACCCAAUUCCACGCACGAUCAUCAAGUUGAGGAGAAGAUUUAUCCGCGAAAAAGGUAAAGAUUCGAUCUUGCUUUUCUCCUUUAAUCUUAAAGAACAUGAGGGAUCCUAAUUGCGUGGUUUUUGAUAUUGGAUCUCGAGAGUUUUCAAAAUCAAAUUUGUUUGAUUUCCUUUUUCCGCUACGUUUUUACCGUACGCAAUUUUCUAACAGUAGGAAUGCCAGAAGGCUGCAACUCAAGUCUCGUAAUUUAUGGCCGCCUAUUUUCCUCGACCCACGGCAAACGAAGCCAAAAUGGGAUUUUUCCCCAAUAUCUCGACGUAGAUUCGUCGAAAUUCCAAACCGAGUCUCCCAACGCGUUGGUUUAUCCACCAAUUGGGGCUACAAGAGAUCAACCCUAAGUUAGAUCUCAUAUUUAACAAAACCCUAAAUUUGACCCUAAGGUUUCCAUCAUUACCAAACACCCCAAAUCUCUUGGAGAUUCAUGAAUAAAUCCACUACAAUAUCUUCUAAAUACAACAAUUAGAAGGGAUUAACCAAAACCCUAGCUUACAACUAUAAGAACUCAUCUCAAGUUCUAGCUUUCUCCUCCACUCAAGCACAAGAGCUAGCUUCACCCCUAAGCAAGCUUCUUCUCCACCAAUCUCCUCUUUUGGAGCAAACCCUAGUGAGAGAAGGAGAGAAAGGGAGAGAGAGUGGAGAAACUUAGAAAAAGAAAGAGCUUUUCUCUUUUGUUGGUGGUGCGAGGGAAAUGAGGGUUAAACACAUGAGAACCCAUAUAUAAACACUUCCCACAUGCACAAUUACACUUAGCCCCCUCACACAACAGAGUUGAACCAACUAUGUGGUUUGUCGCGUACGAGGUCCGGGCCUUGCACUCAGGGUCCGAACCCCGAGAGCAUUUCCAGCACGAAAAGAGCUGAAAUUUUUCCAGCUUGCUCUUCAUGGUCCAAACCACUUAUCUAAUGUAUUCCGAAGCACUCGGAAUAAUUAAUGGACCUCACCAUCUCGUCCACUACCACACUUUAGUCAAUUUGACGGAAGUUCGGUAUAACUCGUCGGGGAUUCGGUAUGUUCCAACUAGAGCCCUAAAUGGAGUCAAUCCGUAUUAACGAGCGAAAAGACGCUUAUGAAAAUAUGUCAUUUAAUGAAAAACAAAAUAGUAGAGAGCCCCAUAGCUACGAGAGACAAAACAAUAGGCCCCAUAAUUGGUAGGAUGUGGAGAGCACUUGAAGCCUCUAAAGGAUCCCACUUCAUAAAUUUAUAAAUAAAUUGUAGAAUAUAGUGGAAGUAUUCGUUCGUACCUUUUAGCGGAAGCAACUUGCGUUAGAAUGCGAAGAGCCCAGAUCGUAAAGGUUGAUUCACGUGUCCUCGGAUCGUCCACGAAAAUCUUCUAUUGCUCGAAACUCGCGGUGGAUCGAACUACAAACGAGCACGAUCUCCAAUCCACCGUUCAACACCCUGUAAAAUAAUAGGUUAAUGGAGGAUGUGAUUUCUGCCUUUCUCUCUUGAUUUUCUUGUUGUCUUUCUUAUGUGAAAUUGUCUGUAUAUUUAUAAGGAAUUCCAAAAUCCUAAUAGGUACGUAAGAGAUAUAAGGUCAAAUCGGUUUAUAAUUGUUAUCCUAAUAUGAUUAGAAUUUAUCUCUAAUUAGCUUUCCAAUUUAAAAGCGUGAUUAAUCCUAAUCCAAUUAGAAAACGUAAUAACCGUUGGAUCGAGCCCAAUUAUGGGCGCACCCGAUUCGAUUUAACCGAAUGCCAACAUAAAUAAUAUAAGGGUGCGUUUGGUUCGAGUUAUCCUGGUAGGAUUACAGGCAAUCCUGUCAGGAUUACUGUGUUUGGUUCAUCCACUAUGCAAUCUAGUCGUUAAUGUAGCAUUACAAAUCGAGCAAUAUUGCACCGAAAAUAUUAACGAGAGGGAGGUCGUGUAUCUUGCAUUACUGAAAAUCGGUAAUACUACAUAUUAUGUAAAAUGACAAUUUUACCCCCUCUAACUCCCGAAACUCUUUCAAUACGUCAUUUAAAAAAAUUUAAUUUUAAAUUUUNGCUUGAUUUGUAUAGGCCAACAUAAAAUGGCACCUAAAUCGAUAUGGGUCAGUAACAAGUGAUAUUACAGUUCAUGAGCUGAUACGCUUGUGAGCUACUAGUACAAGACAUACUAUGUAGCAACCAACUGGCAAGUUAUGUGUCACCUACCUAGACUCACAUAAAGAUCCUUAUCGGUAAGAGAUGUUGGUUCCUUGAUAGUUAUUCAUUUCUCCUACACUCAAAUGUGCUUGUUAUUUUACUGAAAACUUUGAUGUCAUGUAUUGAUUUUCAUAGACGGGUUGUUCCCUCUUAUCUUGUUAACAUGUUUCUUCCAAUGUAAUUUGGAGCAAAUAGUGUAACACCCCAAUAGUCCCACAUCGGAUGGGAAUGAGGUUGUCAUUGGGUUUAUAAGAGACUUAGACACCAGUAAUAAUAACUGGACUUAAGCAUUUUGGGCCGGUGGUUUGGGCCCAACGAGUUAUUGCUGCUAGCGGGUCGGGUCGUUACAUUUGGUAUCAGAGCCGGUUCACCAGCUGGACAUGUGUGGCGAGUCUCGGCUGAGCCAGGGUCUAGAUGACGGGCUAGCGAGACGAGUCUCAUAUCGCCUAGUGAUCUUGGGCUGUGUGUGAUCGGACUGACGAGGACGUCAGGGCCUUAAUAGGCGGAGUCUAUGACACCCCAAUAGUCCCACAUCGGAUGGGAAUGGGGUUGUCAUUGGGUUUAUAAGGGACUUAGACACUAGUAAUAAUAACUGGGCUUAAGCAUUUUGGGCCGGUGGUUGGGCCCAACGAGUCGUUGUUGCUAGUGGGCUGGGUCGUUACAUUAUGUUAUCGCCCGAUUUACAUAAAAUAUUGGGAUUUCAUGUAAAUAUAGGGGCUUUUGUGCAAUUGUGCGCCUUGUGGCUACUGUGGGUAGUGUAUACGUGUGUGUGGGUGCUUCGAGCUGGUAGUCGGUGAGAGCGUUUCACCUCCUUCUAUUUUUCUAUUCCAGCAUUAUAGUCUCUACAUGUCAUUGUUUGUUUAUUGUUUGGUUAUCUUAUCUCGUUGAUUGCAUUUGGAUAGUUGUGGAUAGACAUGUAGAGCAGGCUUGCAUUUGUACUUUGCAUCUCUGUGGACCUUGGGUCCAGGCAACACAUCGACUCUCUUGUCAUGUGUUUCGAUCUGGUUGAUCGUGGCUCGGCAUUGUACGCCUUUGUUUCUGGCUUCGUUCUAGGCACCGGCUUUAGCCGGUUUUUGUUUGAGCAUACUAGCAUGACUUAGUCACAACACUUGGGGGUAUUCAUGACACCGGAUCGGUUUGGCCACCGAUCGGAGGUGUACUUAUCCGGAUGGGUCGUCCUGUGGGGCGGAUGGAUCAGGUCGGUGCAGAUAGUGACAGGCAGCGCUUGAGGUCUACGGACCAAUAUAGCAGGCACAAAUUGGGCUUAAGCAUUUUUGGGCCGGUGAUUUAGGCCCAAUGAGUUAUUAUUGCUAGCGGGUCGGGUCGUUACAUUUGGUAUCAGAGCCGGUUCACCGGCUGGACAUGUGUGGCGAGUCUCGGCUGAGCCAGGGUCUAGAUGACGGGCUAGCGAGACGAGUCUCACAUCGCCUAGUGAUCUUGGGCUGUGUGUGAUUGGACUGACGAGGACGUCAGGGCCUUAACAGGGGGAGUCUGUGACACCCCAAUAGUCCCACAUCGGAUGGGAAUGGGGUUGUCAUUGGGUUUAUAAGUGACUUAGACACUAGUAAUAAUAACUGGGCUUAAGCAUUUUGGGCCGGUGGUUGGGCCCAACGAGUCGUUGUUGCUAGUGGGCUGAAUGUAACGACCCGACCCGCUAGCAACAAUAACUCGUUGGGCCCAAACCACCGGCCCAAAAUGCUUAAGUCCAGUUAUUAUUACUGGUGUCUAAGUCACUUAUAAACCCAAUGACAACCCCAUUCCCAUCCGAUGUGGGAUUAUUGGGGUGUUACAGACUCCCCCCGUUAGGCCCUGACGUCCUCGUCAGUCCAAUCACACACAUAGCCCAAGAUCACCAGGCGAUGUGAGACUCGUCUCGCUAGCCUGUCAUCCAGACCCUAGCUCAGCCAAGACUCGCCACACAUGUCCAUCUGGUGAACCGGCUCUGAUACCAAAUGUAACGACCCAGCCCACUAGCAACAACGACUCGUUGGGCCCAACCACCGGCCCAAAAUGCUUAAGCCCAGUUAUUAUUACUAGUGUCUAAGUCACUUAUAAACCUAAUGACAACCCCAUUCCCAUCCGAUGUGGAACUAUUGGGGUGUCACAAAAAUAUUAUUUGUAAAUAGUAAAAAAAAUAGUUUACAAAAUAUGGUGAAGGGACAUUUUGGAAUAGACUAUAUUUUAUUGUCUAGAUUACUAAAUUUUAUAGACAGAACUACACAUAGUAACGCUAUAAAGACUGCAAUCCAGUAUUACAUUAUUAUAUUAAACCAAACAAACUAAUGCAGUUGUAACAUACCAGAUUUUGGUAUAAAAAUAAAAAUAAAUAAAAAUAGUGUGAGAAACUAUUUUUAUUGAAUUUGUGGAAGUAAAACAUAAGUCAGAAGUGACUUGUGCCGAAAUCGGAAUGAAAACAGAAAAUCUAGAAUUAUCUGUUGGAAACGGGACAGAUAAAUUAGCAGAAAAUGCACAGUCUCAGAAAAUUAUGAAAAUUGGAGGAUUAGUCAGAAAUAUUUUUAUGAGGCUAGUUUUAAAGUUUCAUAUUUUUCUGACACCCGUAGAGUGAGAAAUAAAAUCCGAAAGCUAUCUGAUAAAGAUUGCAGUUCGGUACAGUUUUCAGUGACCAAACGGAGUCGAAAUUGAACCAGUGAUCGUCAGCUUGUUAAGUUAAGUAAAACCGAACAUGACUGUCAAGUUUGAGCUCAAACGGACAUUCAGGGAGCUCCGCCGCGAAAGUUAUCAAAUUUUAAGCUGCCCGCUGGAUGAAUAGUGUUUUUGGGCCGUGUAUUAUGAGAAGCAAAAUGCUUUUCUUUCUCCCCACCGUUGAGCCCACGCACACAUUGCGACACACACCACACGCAACAUGAGGAGGAGAGAGAGAUCUUACCCUUUCUCUCUCUAAAUCAUUCCAAAAGAGGGGUUUUGGGGAGCUGAAGUCUUUCUGAGGAUGGAUUUUCAUCUUCUCUAUCUUCUUCCUCUCCCCAUAGAGCAAGCUUGAAGGUAAGCUUCAAACCUUAAUGGCAUUUCUCUCUAGUUUGGUUUUUAAGCUCUAAGAAUGGGAUUUAGAGUAUUUAGCAUGCUAAUUUAGAGGCUUUGAUACUUUGAAAUCAAGGCUCUAAUGUGGCAUUUUUACACUGUUGUUAAACCUAGGGCCUCAAAAUGCUUAACUUUUCAAAAUCAUGAGGCGUUUGAUCUCCAUUUGACCUUCGUAACUAAUUGCUAGGUAAACGAACGCUGUUGGCGAAGACGGUUCGGCGAUAUUCGUCGGAGGGCCGUUGCGAAUUUAUUACAGAAACGGAUGUUUAGGCUUCUGUUUUUCGCCUGGAGCUGCCAGGCGAUAUCGUAAAUUCAAUGAAAACGGAUUUGAGGCAUUCGUGGCACAUAACGAACGACUUAAUUUUCGGAUCUUGAAUGGGAGGCCGUUCGCGUGCGUCGCGCAGAGAUCGGGCCAACGGGUGCCGGGUGCCGGCGGGAGGCCGAUUGCGGUUCGACAAGCAAUCCGGGAAUGCGAAAUGGAGGUGGGUUGGUGCUUACCCGAAGCGACACUGGUCGCGCCUUUAUGUUUCUAAGAAAUGAGAUUUCUAUGACAUGAUAUUGACAAAUAUAAGAAUUUGUUGAAAAGAAUGCAAUGUUAAACAUACUAUAGAAUAUGCUAAUGUAAUGAUUAAUGAAUUAAGUGCUAAUAAGAAUGCAUGAGAUGCCUAGUAUGGACUUUUUUGGAUAAUUGGACUAUAUUUGUAUGUUGACAAAUCCAUGUCGAUGCUAGUGGAUAUGUGUCAUGGUGAUUAUUAUGAAUUUACAUGUGGAUUAUGUUAAAUAGAAAAACAUACUUGAUGACAUAUUGCCAUUGUUGUGGAACAAGUGGACAAUCUAUUAUAUAUAUUAGACUCGAGUGGCAUAAAGCUUAGCAUCUAUGAACCUAGCAAACACUUGUGGUGUAUUCAUCAUUAUUCUGAGUGUCAUUCAUGUAUGUUUUAGACCCUUUAUUGUGUAAAUGUGAGAGUUGGACUUGAACAUUAGUAAACAAGGGUGACAGUGACAACUAGAGACAUGAUUGGCAUCAAGAAUGAUUGUUAACAUAGUUUACACCAUAUUGACAUUGUCCAAAGAUUGACAUUAGAGAGUUGGCAUUGGAUUAAAUAGUAGAGACCUAUCAUGCAUUGGCUUGCUGACCGACGUGGCUAUGAAAUCCUUCAAGUUGGAGGAUUGGCAUCGCAAGACUUGCACGUUACGUUUUAGGGCUUUGAGGGAGGUUUAGCUCCCCUCGGGCGGUGCGCUCCGGAGUUGGUCACGCACUGGCGUGCGUAAAGUCCACCAAGAUGAACCGGUCCCCAGGGGGGUUCGGAGUCCCCCGUUAUUAAGGGAUUUUGGUAGUGAGUUAUUGGGGGUUAACAUUGUUAACCGGUAAGAUGGUUUUCAUAGCCAAAUGAUGUGAUACAACAAUAUGCAUUAUGAGUUAUGGGAUUUGGUAUCCUGUCGAGAUUAGGCGGGCUUGAGGGUGUAUGUGAGACGUCCAUCGCUCUGGCCUGGUUCUGGUGCGGUACUCCGCAGACGAUUGGGACUCAAGACGAGCGGGUGGUUAGAUUUUAUUUAAAGCUCUUGUAAGUAGAUGAAAACUUCUAUGAUUAAAGCGGCUGAUUGACAAGAAUUUAAGAUAAGGAACCUUAGAUAUCGAAUGGGUGAGCUAUGUGUUAGCAGAAUUGAAAGUUAGAUGUCAAAUGACAAUACUAGUUGGAUUGCAAUAGUUGCAUUAUUGCAUGAAUCUGAUAUAGCAUUGAAUUAUUAGCAUUGUGAGGCAAAGCAUGAUUUUCCAGUUGCCGUAUCAAGCAUAAGUAUAAUCUAUCUGUUUUAUUGAACUAACUUGCCAAGUUGCCUCCUGGAACUAUUCGGUCAAGAGCUCUUCCUUGGAGGUGGCACGUACCCACUGGGAAACCAUUGGAGUUUAGGUUUCACCCCACGUGGGUUUUGGGGCUUAUAUUACAGGGUUCUGCACCCCGUGAGCGGCGCGGCGGCGCGAGGGCAGAGGCGUAGCUCCAUAGUUACCCGCAUAAACCCUACCACGCGAGACCCAGAGAAGUGGUUACCCUAAGUCCGGCCUUACUCUAGCGGGAAUGUAAAGACAUGAAUAGAAUCAAGUUGUAAUAAUGAAUAUUAAAAUCGGAUUGUAUUUGAGAAGAUUAAUGUAAAUAAAGUACUUGACGAUGUAAUGUAAUGAAUAUGAUGAAUUGUAAUAACAUAGAUGUGUUCUAUGUUGAUUUGUUGAUACCUUUCCAUUGGAUGCAAUCUUUGAAUUUGAAAUGUGUUAAUGGUUGAACAUUCACACAUUGUAAUGAUUGCCUAUGCCUUGAAACGUACAGGGGCAGACUCUGCCGCUAGUUACAGGGGACAAAACCCUGUUAACACAUGCAGACUUUUGACAAAUUGCGACGGUUCGAGUGUUAUGAUGUGUUUCAAGCUUUUUCCACACUUGGUGCGAGGGGUCGUAGUAAUGUUCCCGACCCGAAAAGUUCAAACCCUGGAACUUCUGACUAAGUCCCUGAGAGUUUUUUUUACUUCGGGACCGGUCCCUGGAAGGAGAGACCGUUUCCCAAUGUGAGCAGAAUUGCAGCAGGCAAGCCUGAGCAACCGGGUCCUGGCAGGCGAGACCGGUUUUCCCGAACGCGGUCUUCGCAGUACGUUACCGAUUCCGGCGCACGGGAGAGACCAGGUCCGAACGCUUUGGUUUCGGUCGCCGCAAGCGAGAGACGGUUCACUGCUGGGGAGAGACCGGUUCCCUCUGGGCGAAAAACUAGCUCCAGUUCGGAGUGAGUAAUAUUGGGUUUUUGAAGGGGGGCCUCUUGGGAUUUUGUUGAACUAGAUCGGCUUAUUGCCAUAUUCACUCCCUUUCCUCACUCAUUUCCUGCACCACAUAACCUUCUAGCGAGAGAAGAAAGAAGUAAGAGAGAAGGAGAAGAAGGAGGAGAAAGAAGAAGCAGAUUUAUGCUUGAGGGAGCAUUGGAGCUCAACCCAUUUCUCUCUUUUCCCACUUUGCAGCGCUUGGAGCUUGACUUGUAAGAGUUGGUGGUGGGCCAAAUCUUCAACCAUAGGAGAUUUGGGGCAUUACUUGGAGGCAAUACUUGGCAGAUGUUAGUACUUGGAUUUAUCGAUUUGAUCCUAGAUUUGGUUAGGGUUUUUUACCAUAUUGAACCCUAGUUUUUAGAAGAUUUAUGGCUGAUUUGAUUUUGGCGGGCUUUUUAUCUAGGGUUUUUGGGGCUAGAUUGAUUGAUUUGACCUUCCUUUGGCGCUUGGAUUUGCGAAAGGUCAUCUAGCCUCUCUUUUUGAAGCUAUUAGAGAGAUUUACUUCUCUUUGAGGAUUCCAAUUUUGGGCCUUUUUGCUUCAUAGAGUUAAGUUUGAUCUUAGCGGAUGGCUCAGUAAUGCCUCGUAUCUUCUUCGCCUGAUCACUUUUAGGGCAUCUUGAGGCUCAGUGCGACAAAUCCGUUCGGCGAGAUCGAAGAUGCGCACGCUACGGUUCGGUGGGCUUUGCCUAGGCAUUACAACAUGAGAAAUGCUUCAUAUUUGGUGUUAAUGCUUCUUAAGUUGAAAUUAUUGCAUUUUCAUGUUAAUAUAUUUAUUUACAUGAAUUUGAGAAUGCUUAACAUGCUACUAGGGGUUAUGUGUAGUAAAUUUGGGACCUCCCAUAUAGUAGAGCAGCUGCAUGGGCUGGGCUAGCAUUCUAGUUGCCGAUUUGAAAUUAUUAAUCACCUAUUAUGAAAACGAACCUUGCUUUCAUGAUUCAAACCAUAUACCAGAUUGUGCAUUCGGGAUUUUGAAAGCCUAGAGAGGCUUACGGACUUAGGAUGAUAUGUGAGAUUGCGGCCACAUGUCAUAAAGAGGCAUGGGCGCCCGGGGCAUAGUGAAGCAUUAAUGUUAACGGUCUUAACUUGAACAUGAUUCAGUUGUGGAGCUUACAGUGUCUAAAGAGGAACUACAGCAUAUGUGUUGUUGCGGACUUCACAUUAUACUGGCAACUAGAUUCUUCGGGAUACUGGUGACUAUACCAUGUUAGAGACGUGAGGAUUGGGUACGUGAGACCGUGACCUUGCUUGUUUGCCAUUGUGCUCAUUCGCACAUGCUUGUGAGGGUCGCUCCCCGCAAGCCGGCACUCCGGAGUUGGCCUAUGCGAUUUUUGUUCGCUCGUGCGGUAUUGAGAAGCCUACGGGGUCGAGUGGGACAGACACAUUCCAAGAGUAGGGAUGUUGGGCUACCACAGGCACUUAGGCGGCACAAGCUGGACUACCUUGGGUAGGUCCUUAUAUUGGAAAUGGAAAUCGAUACGGUGUUGAAUAUGAACAAUCACUACUAGAUAGGAUUAGCAGUUGGAUUACAUGGACACGCUUAUGAUGUAGCAUUGAUACACUUAGUAUACUUGCCGGUUUCAUUAUUGCAUCAUAGUAUACUCGGUUAUUCGGAUAGGGUUUACUCUUGUGCCUUGACAUAUUGCAUCAUGAGGUUUACUUGUGUUUUAUGUUAAGACAUAGUAGCAUAGCAUUUCAAUCAUGUUUCCUUUCAGCAGUAUUCAUGUUCGCUACUUAUCGCAUAUUACUAUAUGUCAUUAUUUACCCUUUUCUUUUGGGGCCUAGUGGUGCAUUGAGCUGAGGUCAGUAAUUGCCCACUGGGAACUAUAAAUUAUAGUUCUCACGCCCUCUUUUUCUCGAUGUUUUUCAGAGCCUUCCUCUCAGGGUGAGGCCAGGGACCGCGGGAAGGGAGUUGCUUCGAGCUAGCUUCCCUUGAGGACGAUUCGCUAGGUGGUCUACCUCUCGUUGUAUUUUAUUUUGGAGAGGUUGAGAGUUGUACCCGUACAUGCUUAGAGACCACCAUUUUUGUACUAGAGAUUGUUACUGUACUACUUACAUUUCACUUUUAUGGUUUAGUUAUGCUCUUUUCUUUUUUUUAUAUAGAAGAUAGAAUCAUACUGCUCUGAUAUCACAGUUUGUUGCUCAUUCGUUUUCUAUUACUUCUUGCUUUUACUUCCGCUUUUAUUGUAGACGCCUUAUAUGUGUAGACAUAUGGCGGGUCUGGGCACGCUACCGGGAGGGCCUCCGCCGGUCCCGGGGCGUGACACCCUGUCCGUUCGGCGAUUUGUUGCGGCGCCACGACCCGGCCAAAUAGGCGGGCGGUCGCGGGGCGUGACAGAUAAGAUGGUAUCAGAGCAUAAAAAGAACAUAAAAAGAAUAAUAGAAAAUGGUUUAGUUGGACCUAGGAGACCCUAGGAUAGUAAACCAUAGGAGAUUAAGGCUCGUGAGAGACGAGGACUUGUUUCUUUUGGCGAAAGGUUAAUUGAUUGGGUUGUGUCGUAAACCUCUAAAACGGAUGUUAGAGGUAGACUCAAGGUGUUGUUUGUUCUCAACAGAGGGUGUUCAUGUUGGGUGCACACAACAUGAAGCCGAGUGAUGAGAGUAGACGCCUUUGCGUGACUUUCGCCCGAUUUGAGUCGGUAUUAAGUGUUUCGUGUUCGACCUAGAAGGUCGAGGAUUAAU